This 62887-nucleotide long non-coding RNA is filed under the name Linum usitatissimum (flax). Its description in RNAcentral is "long non-coding RNA (LUSI_LNC006001)". The record is from RNAcentral. Lineage: Eukaryota; Viridiplantae; Streptophyta; Magnoliopsida; Malpighiales; Linaceae.
CUUUUUUUUUUUUUUUUUUUUUUUUUUUUUUUUUUUUUUUUUUUUUUUUUUUUUUUUUUUUUUUUUUUUUUUUUUUUUUUUUUUUUUUUUUUUUUUUUUUUUUUUUUUUUUUUUUUUUUUUUUUUUUUUUUUUUUUUUUUUUUUUUUUUUUUUUUUUUUUUUUUUUUUUUUUUUUUUUUUUUAUUUUUUUUCUUUUUUUUUUAUUGUCUGUUUUUUUCUUUUAUCCUGUUUUUCUUCCUUUUCAAGAUCUUGAAAAGAGAGAGAAAAUGAGAGAGAGAGAAUGAGAAAGAGAAAACGAGGGAAAGAGAAUGAGAGCAAGAGAGAGAGAGAGGAGGAGAAAUUUUUGGAGUUUUUUUAUUUUUAGUGGCUUUGAUAUUGAAAAUACUAUAUAAAGAAUUUUAGAUGAAAUCAGUCAGUUGAUACAAUUAUUGUUGUUAUGUGCUAUUAUCGUAUGAUAAGCGGGUGGGGCUUUUCUUGUUUUCGUAAACAUCAAGAUUUUAUUGGUUGGGUCUAUGAUUCCAGCCUACAUGAUACUCAAAAGGGCCCUGGUUCAUCUGGAAAUGAAAAGUGCUUUAUGAACGUUUGGAUUGGUGCUUCCUUGACUCGGUUUGGUAACUUCAAUUUCUACCCACCUAUAUCGUGUUAAGUCGGAUCACCGACCUAUUUUCAUGGUUGCGACCAAGCUCAAGAAGUCAAAUCUUCCUCAUACCUUUCGCUUUAUGGCUUCAUGGUUGUCACAUGUUGAGUUUAAGCCUUUUUUUGUCGGAAUGGAAUCGGUCUUUUACCUUUAUUCAUCAGAUGUCCAUUCGAGCUACCAAACUGAAAAAAUGAAAUAAGGAAAUUUUUGGCAACAUCCAAACGAAUAGAAGGAGCUUAUCUUUAAACUUGCUGAUGUUUAAGCUCUCGCAGCUCCUCUACUCAUUCAAGACACCACAAUGGACAUUGCAAGUGACCGGAAUACUCAUUUUUUUCACGUAUCCACCUUCCGUAGGCGUGCUCGGAACCACAUUAUUAAGUGAAGGAUGACUGUGGGGUGUGUAUUCAUUAGGUUUGGGAGUCGGUUAAUUUGGUUAAUAACCAUCGGUUAAUGGUCGGGAAGCGCUUUGAUGAUUGAAAUUAAUUAACCAAAUUAACCGACCGAGCAAAAGCCACGGUUAAUCUUACCGACCGAUAACCGACCAAUCAGUUAAAUGAUCGAUUAUUAACAGACUGACUCUCGGUUAACCGUUGUAACCGGCUCUGACCAAUUUAACUCUCUUCUCAUAUUGCAACAAGAUUCUAGGCUCUGGCUCUAGAUCCGUCGUCGAUUCAAGCCUUGGAGACCAUAGCUUCUCUUCUGGAAACAAUCCGGUGCUCUACAACUUGAUCCUUCGGGACUGGAAGCUUUCCGAGACGGCGUUGUUGCGGAUCAGUAAGGAGAGGAGGAAGCUUCAAGCCUAUGGUGUUGCAGAUCGAAGAAUUGAGAGAGUGGAGGAGGAGAGGAUUGGCCGUGGCGACGAAGGAAGCAUGUGGUGUUGCAGAUCGAAGAAUCGAGAGAGUGGAGGAGGAGAGGAGCGCUUGCGGUGACUCGUCGUGGUCGUCGUCGUGACUGCCGGCGAGAUGCUGAAAUUGAAUCGCUUGGAUUGAUAGAGUUGUCGAGAUGGAUUGAUGGAGUUGUCGAGAUGGAUUGAUGGAGAUGGCUCGGAGUUAACCUAAUUUCAGAAUGAGAGGUUGUGAUGGAGUGGGAGGCUGGGAGGGGAGGGAGCGAUUCUGCGAUUGUGGUGAGCAAAGCUUGAUUUCCUAAUUGGGGACCUUGGUUUUUUUAAUUACCGGUUAACGUUGGUUAACUCGAGUUAACCAACGAUUUUACCCUGCUCCAACAAGUACUCCCAACUGUUCCCCGACCGACCCCUACCUCGGUUAAACCGACACUCUAACCGAGUCGAUCAGUUCAUCUGUUUAACCUAUUAACCGAGACUGAUGGCCCACCCUUAGUAUUCAUCCAGCUUGUUGCUGCAAUUAGUGUCGUAUUGAUAUGGUUGAGAGAGGAUAAAAUAUGCUUGAUUUCAAGUUCUCCAACUUGAAAGGUUUAGCUGUUAAAAAUGUAGAGGUCAUGACUGAGUACUGAUUUCCAGCAAGGAGAAGUUGGAUAUUUGCUUGCGAUAAAAAAGAAUUUGGACAGUCUAUCUUAGGCACAAAAUCUAACGGAUGAGAUGGCAACUUUACUUCAGGGGCCUAUUGGUCAUUUUAAAAUUUUCUUGUUUUUCAGUUUAUUUUUCCAUUCUGUUUAAUAUUGGUUCAAGUAAAAUGAUUUCUUGUAAAUUGGGUCUAUUGAGUAACGUGGGUGGGUAGACUUUAUUGCUCCCAUCGAGCUUGACGUGAUAUUUUCUUCUUCGUUUCUUUAACAUGCAUAAAUUGUAUAUAAUACGAAAGGUUGGAAAUAUAUGUGAAGCUCGAGGUUUAUUAUAUAUGUUUCGAGGUUUAUUAUAUAUGUUGAACCUUUUUGCCAAUUGGUUAUUUUUAUCAUGUAGUGCCUUAUCAAGUAAAGGGAAUGGUUGUUUUUAUCUACUGUCACUAGCCAACUUUCUUUCUCAUGUGAUCAAUUAUUUGAUCACGCAUGAAUGACUACAGUACACAAAAGAUAGAAAUAUUAUAAAAACAAAAAACAAAUAUUAAAAAAAAAUACCUAAAAAGCAGGUACAUAACAACAAAAACAAUAACCGUAAAUAUCAAGUACAUGAAAGCGGAUGCUCAAAAUAAGCACGCACACAUUAAAAACUUUGGUACAUACAAGGCAAGAAAAUCGAGAACAUAUUGGAACUCGAGUACCGGAAUUGGUACGGUAUUAAGUACAACGUGAAGAAAUAUCAAGUACAUUAAAAAGCGAGUAUAUAACAAUAGAAAUAAGUACACGAAAACAACUCAGAGAAAUGAUAAUUUGAUUGCCAAAAUUGAGUAUGAUAAAGUAAAAUGCAAGCACGUAGUACAUGAAACAAAUAUGAGUAAGAGUACAUAAAUUUUUUAGUACAAUACAAGACAAAAACUCAAAUACAUAUAAAAACUGGACACUAAAAAAAAUAAUUAAUUAUUCACAAUUUUAAAUAAUAAUAGUCACGAUUUUUAUCAUGAUUAACAGAAGCUAGUCACGAAAAUAAAUCCGUAACUAACCUAACCGAUGCUAGAUGAACUUGUCACGAAUCUGAAUAACCUGUAACUAAGUUGUCACCGAAAUUUUCCGUGACCAACUCAUCACGGAAGAAACCGUGAACAUAUGUGUUUUUGUUUUUGUUUUUUAAAUUAGUGGCACGGAGCCAUAUGCUGUGAUAAUUGAUUUAUUAAUAAAUUAAUCCCACAUCUCCGUGGCUACUAUAUCACCAGAAUUUCCAGAUUCCGGCAACCACAAUUUCCAGAAUCCGGCAAUAAGAUAGAGUUGAUAAUUGCUUUUUUAUUAGAGUAAAAUGUUCUACAUCUAUACAUUAUGAUACCCAUAUCAAAAUUCCAGAAUCCCAAAAUUGAACAUAACGUCAACGAAAGGCACCAUGCAACAAUGGUGACACUAAGGGUUACAACAACCAGCAAAACCGAAACACAGACUGGAAAUGCUACCAAGAGAAGGAUGAGACUAGAUGAUGAGAUUGAGAUUGAGAGAAGAAAAAUGAUAGUAAGAAAUUUUGUUUUCGAGAGAGAUCAAAUGAAGAUGAGAUCUACUUCUAAUUUAAUAUAAUGGAAAUGGAGAUAUGGUUGUUUAAUGGCAAAGAGAGAAGAAAGGAAUAGCCCAUUAAACGAGGAUAGAGUCUGCAUCAUUUCUUUUUUCGACCUUUUCCCACUAAAAUGCUAAUUUUAAAAUUAUAAAUAAAAGUUGGUCACGGUUCCAACAUUUACCGUGAGUAGUUGGUCGCGGUAUUCAACAAUCCAUGACUAGUUAUGGAUUUUUUUUUAUCUAUAAGUAGUUAGUCAUGGUUUUUAAAGCCGUGAUUAAUAAAUCGUGAUUAAUCGUUGAUUUUUUUUGUAGUGCGAGUAUGAGUAUUGAGUAAAACGUCAUGUACAAAAACAAGUACAUCAAAAGCGAGUACAUAAUUAUCAAAACAAGUACUAAAACGAGAGGAAAAGUACAUAAAAAGCGAGUAUAUAAUAAUAGAAACAAGUGCAGUAAAAAUCAAGUGCAUGAAAGGAAAACGAAACUCAAACUAAACACUAAUACAAAAAAAACUUUAGUACGCAAAUAAGUAAAUACAAGAAAAUUAACAUACACAAACGAAUACAUAAGAGUAUAGUGUUUAAACAAAGCGAUUAUACGGAUCAAUACGAUGUUGAGUACAAAACAACAACUUGAGGCUUUAUCCCUCAUUUUUAGAUGAUUUUGUACUAAGUUCUUAUAUGUAUUAGUUUUUAUUAAUGUAAUCCCUCGUGUACUUUGUCUUUGGAUUUAUUUUUAUGCCAUAUCUAUUUAUUUACGCAUUUGUGUAUACUUAUAUUUUUAGAACUUUAUACUCAAAUCAAUUAAUCAAACAAUAAAACUAUUUUCUCUUUACACGAACCAACAUAAUAACCCAUCACCCCAUACAGGGUUGUGAAGGAGGUGCAGUGACCAGAAUUUUCUAGUUGUUGCUUUUCUAUAGUUUGAUAAGGGUAAGCAUCUUGUUCUAGAAUAUAUGUUGUUAGGUUAUAACAAUGCAUCUAGUUGAGCAUGAUUCUUUGGUCAAGUGUUACUGGGAUUCUUUUUGUUCCACAUCAAUGCUCGGAGGUCGAAGAGGCAACGAGGGUGACGAAGAAAUCGGCAUCACCACGUGAGAGAAGAUGAAGAAGAGGUCAGAGAGUGGAGCCGGUGGAAAAGAUAUACUAGAAGAGGUACUUAAAGUUACUUGUACGACAAAACUGCCCUUAUUCAAUUGGACAACCCCUAGAUUAAAAUUUAAAAAUGAACGGACGCGAUUCGUUUGCGGCCAGCAAACACAUAAUAUCAUGGCUGCCUAUCCGGACUCGUCAUAACUGGCGUCAACAUUACGUAGUGUUGUCAAAAAUUAAAAAGGGGAAUAUAUAAUAAUAAUAAUAACAGACGUAAUCUUGUGUAUAUAAUGAUAUUAAAACGUUUUUCAAUCGACAAAGCCAAGUCUGCGGGAGGAACAGCUAAUGGACGAACAGCCUAAGCAUAAGCCGCCUUCUUCGUAUUCUUCAGAUUCUCUGAAUCUCUACCCUUUUUUUUUGUUACGCGGAUUCCCUUCCCUCGUCUGCAAACAAAAAGCUCUUCGUUGACUUUUUAGCAGGCUUUUUUAAAAAACCUUAAUUGAAAAAAUUUGUACAUGGUUGUUGCCUUUGUUGGCGUCAGCAUGACCCAAUGCUGUUGUCAUGUUCAUGAUUGCUCCAACUCACCUGGCUGCGCAUCUGCCUUCUGACCUGACCUGCCCUCCUCCUUUUUUUUAAAUUAUGUUUCCCCAAAAUUAAAUUUAAAUCGUUACAAAAUUGGUCUCUCCUUCUCCUAUAUAUAACGUGGAAGAGCUCCUGCCAAAAAAGUCAUUCAAACUCAAAGCAGAUAAAUUAUCAAAAUAAAAAAGAAAACCCCAGUGCUCUGCCUGCCGUUAAGAAAUUAGUUUAUUGGGUUUGUUGUGUUUAUGAAAGCUGUGUUCCAGAGACUGAUAUCGUCAAGCACCCAGAUUGGCUGUAGGAAGAAAGUUGCAUCUUUUCCAUUAAUCAGAAGCGCUAAUAUGUCUGAAUCCUCUGCCUUUGAUUCUCCGAGAUUGGUGACCAAGAAGGUCCUUGCUAAGCUUCAGCGUGAAGGGGAUGGUGCUUCUGUCAGGAGAAGCAUUGGAAGGUAUAAUAUAAUAUAUCAUGGAUGGAUGGAUGGAUAUACAAUUUUCUUCUUGUCAAAAUUGAAUUAACUGUUUUCGUUUCUGUGGUGAAAUUGAAUGAUUGAAUGUUGAAUUAUUUUGGUUCAGGAGUGAGCUCAGGUCUCUGGACCCUUUCCUCAUGUUGGAUGAGUUUUCAGGUCUGCUUUGCUUAAUUACUUGAAACCAAAUUCCUUGAUAUUUUCUAGAAUUAGGAUGAUGAUGGAUGAUGGAUGGUAUUUAAUUUGUUGUUGCAAAUUGCAAUGCAUGAAGUCUCAGCUCCUGCUGGAUUUCCUGAUCAUCCACACAGAGGUUUUGAGACUGUUACAUACAUGCUGGAGGUACAGACAGUACUGGAGUUAAUUAUUUAUUAUGAAUUGAAGGCUGUUUUUUGUCCUUGGUAGUCUAUUUAUUGAUGUCUGUGAAAUUCGUGGGUGGCACUGGCAGGGAUCAUUCACUCAUCAAGAUUUUUCUGGGCAUAGAGGGACUAUUCAUGCCGGGGAUGUUCAAGUAAAAUAAUUCACUCAAUUACAAUACUACGACGUUUACUUAAUUAGCUAGCUUUACUUGAUCAAAGUCAAAAACUCUUUCUUUUUUUAAAGUAAACAACAACAACAACUUGUGUGUUUUCCUGUUGGGCAGUGGAUGACAGCAGGUAGAGGGAUAGUCCAUUCAGAAAUGCCUGCAGGAGAAGGAGUCCAGAGAGGCCUUCAGCUUUGGAUAAACCUCUCUUCUCAACAUAAAAUGUAUGUUUUUAUUUCCUUUUUUGUUUGUACUUUCCAACUUCACCAUUCCAACAGUUUGUAAUAUGGAACCAACAGGAUUGAGCCAAGGUAUCAGGAACUUCUGAGGCAGGACAUCAAAAGAGCAGAGAAAGACGGGGUUGAAGUCCGAAUCAUAGCAGGGGAAUCAAUGGAAAUCGAGUCUCCAGUUUAUACAAGGACCCCAACAAUGUACCUUGAUUUCACACUGCAACCAAGGUCCCAAAUGCACCAGCCCAUUCCAGAAUUAUGGAACGCAUUCAUUUACGUCAUUGAAGGUGAGGGAGUGUUUGGGAUCCCAAACUCCUCACCAGUUGAAGCACAUCAUACACUCGUUCUAGGCCCUGGUGAAGGAAUGAGCGCCUGGAACAACUCCUCUUCCAAACCCUUGAGGUUUGUCUUGAUUGCAGGCCAGCCACUUAACCAACCAGUGGUGCAGCAUGGUCCUUUUGUCAUGAACACAGAAUCUGAAAUCCACCAAGCAAUUGAAGAUUACCACUACUCCAAAAAUGGGUUUGAAAUGGCGCAGUAUUGGAGUUCCCAAUAGGGAACAAGUAAGUGCUUGGAUCACUCAAAACCAAAUCUCCACAUUCCCUCUCAACUUUGAAGAAGAAAAGAGUAAAGAAUAAAAAUACACAUCCACAAACACUAAAGGCCACACGCAUAUGUGAGUGAUACUCAUUUGUGUUCCAUCAUGUAUUAAUUUAGCUUUUAUCCUCUUCCAACCUUUUACUAUUCCAAAUCAAAAGGUUGAUUAUUGCAUUGUCACACAAAACAAUGAUAAUAAAAAUACUCAAUUCAUAUAAUCCUUAGAAUUAAUUCUUUUCAUAACUAUAGUAGAUGUUUGAACAAGUGAGAACAAAAUAUAAGCUUAAUCUUAAUAGUAAUAUCAACGGAUAAUAGCACUGUGUGUCACUUAAUUAUUACCCAUGUCGCACAUAAACUACUUAACUUUCUACAUUGCACAUAAAGCCACUUAACUUUGCUUAUGCUUGCAACAUCCAAAUUUUCAUUCAAUUUAUGGAUAGACUGAUCGAAUUGAUGAGUUCUUAUUCGAGAUCUUCUGUAUGAAUAACCUCCAACACAUUAAAGAGAACAAUAAUUUAUAAGAACUGACAGAAUAACUUAUUACUUGUUUACAGAAAAGAAUGAUAAAAUAAAAAGGCAAGAAUAGAUUAUAAUCAUGCCUUGGACACUGCUUUCGAAAAAAUAUUUCCCGAAUUUAGAACACCAAUACAACUAAAGGUUAAUCACAAUAUUCACUCAAACUCUAGUGUAGGGCUUGAAUGUUGGAACUUGGAAACUUAUGCUAUUUUGAUUCCGAUUUUGAGAGUGAAAACAAAGUUUUCUGCCCAUAUUAAUCAACUAGGAUUUCCCUUUUUAAAGAGAACGCAUCCACUAACCAACAUCAAAUCCAGAUUCUCCUUUCUGAUGAUCAUCAAUGAUAAGCAGAUAUGGGGAAGGUGGAGUUGAGCUCCCGAUUUCUAGGAAGCCAACCAAAUACUUCUGUUAAGCAUAAGUCUUGAGUAUAUGCGGUAUGUAACUGAUCAUUACUGUUACUUCAAGUGGUUAGAUAAUGGUUACAUCAUCUUGCUGUUGUCCGUUGAUGACAUGUUGAUAGCAAGUUCUAUUGUAAAAGAAGUAAACAAGUUGAAGAAACAGUUAUCUAACAGUUUACUAUUAAGAAUAUAGGAGACGCUAAACAGAUUUUGAGUAUGUGCAUUGAUCAUGAUAGGCAAGUAGGAAAGUUUUAUCUUUCGCAAGUUGAAUAUAUCAAGAAAGUCUUGAAGAGGUUCAAAAUGCAGGAUGCAAAACUAGUAAAGAUUCCUUUGGGUGGCUAUUUCAAGCUAUUUGAGAAGGAUAUGCCUAAUAAUGAUCCAGAACGUGCCCAAAUGCACGAAACACCAUACAUUUUUGUAAUUGAUAGCUUGAUGUAUGGAAUGGUGUGCACAAUACCAGAAAUUGCACAUGUAGUGGGAGUUGUCAAUAGAUUCAUGGGAAAUCGGGGGGAAGCGAUUAAGUACUCCUGAGAUAGUUGAAGAUUACUACUAAAAGGGUCUUGGGCUUUGAGGGCAAAGUAAUGUAGUUAGAAGGAUUUGUCAUCAAGUGACCUUGAUAGAAGAAGAUGUACAACAUGGUAUAUUUUUACUCUUUGAGGUACCAUGGUUUCUUGGGCUUUUAAGUUGCACUGUCUAACACUCAAGCUAAAUAUGUUGCGGUAACGAAGGCCAGCAAAGAGAUGGUAUGGUUUUAGAAUUUCUUUGGUGAAUUGGGGAAGAAGAAAGAGGAUAGCAUAUUGUACAUUAGUCUUAUACACUUGCAAAAAAUUCAGCAUUUCAUUCAAAAUCGAAGCUCAUAUUGAGUUGAUGUAUCACUUUAUGGGUUGAUCUCUUGGAAAGGAAGAUCUUACGGCUUAUGAAGAUUCUAGGAAGUGAGAAUCCUAUGGAUAUGCCGACUAAGGUUGUAAAGUUGGAGAAGUUGACACUGUGUAUGACUUUAACUGGUUUUGUAACUGAAGUUGAAGGUCAGAUGCUGCUUGUAGUAGGAAGACGUUGAACAUGGAGAACCAAUGAGAGGAGUAUGUCUUCAGGUGGGAGAUUGUUGGGUUAUGGUGCCUAAGAAACUGAAGGCUUGGUCCAGUUAGUUUGUUUAGUUAGAUAAAAAUUAAGAUUAAUCUUGUCUAUUCUAUAUAGGAUUAGAAUUAAUAUGGUAGCUCCCUAUAAAUAAUCUAUAUUCAUAUCAUUGUAAUCUGUAUCACAACAAUAGUAGUCGAAAUCCUAACUUGGUUUGUAAAAAAAGAAAUUCUAGCGUGGUAGCGCCCUAGACAUACUCUUCUCGUGAAGAGGAACUAGGUUCUUAAUUUUUCAGUUUAUGAUUGCGUUUCAUUUUUUACAGGAACGACCAGAUCCAGCUCAGAAACUUCCUCAAGAUGGCGACGUUGAAGAAGCUCUGUCUCGCUAACGCCUAACAAUGGCUUCUCUAGACUGAUUCAGACUGUCCUCACCGCUGGAAAAGGAGAUUAGAUAGAAAUCCAUCUUUUAUUCCUCUUCAUUGUUUUUAUGACAAUUUCUUCUUUUCUUUUAUAAUAGAGAACUAUUUAUCACUUUUGUUGGACAUUUCUUGUUUGUUUCCCUCAAGAACUAAUAAUUUUGGUCAAUGGGUGACCACUGAUGAUGUUGAUUCUAUAAGCUUUAGUAUUUAGUCAAAUUCUUGAGUUUUUUUCAACUAGAAAAAAAAAGAAGAGAGGUUACAGUUUCAAUUAUUAAGUUUGAAGAAUUAAAGAAAAAAAACUAGACUACAGAUAUGAAAAGGUAAUUCUGAUAAUUUUUAUUGAUGAAUUUUUUUUUUGUAAUGAGUAAGAUAAUUUUUUAGGUUUUAUAAAUGGGUUUUUGGUUAAAAAUCUCAUUUAGAUAGAGUUUUUGAUGGGUAAUUAUGAAAUUUGACAUAAAGGGUACAUGAUUAAAAAGGUGGGAAAGGAAGAUGCGAAAAGAAGGUAAGAAGGAAUCAAUUCAUGGCAAAAAAGAAAAAUAAAUAAGAGGGAAGAAAGAAGACAUAUAUUGAUGGGAGGCGGAGGUGGGAUAGGGAGGUGAGAGAAAGAUGUAACAACAAAGAAGGGUUUAGCGAAAGGUGNNNNNNNNNNNNNNNNNNNNNNNNNNNNNNNNNNNNNNNNNNNNNNNNNNNNNNNNNNNNNNNNNNNNNNNNNNNNNNNNNNNNNNNNNNNNNNNNNNNNNNNNNNNNNNNNNNNNNNNNNNNNNNNNNNNNNNNNNNNNNNNNNNNNNNNNNNNNNNNNNNNNNNNNNNNNNNNNNNNNNNNNNNNNNNNNNNNNNNNNNNNNNNNNNNNNNNNNNNNNNNNNNNNNNNNNNNNNNNNNNNNNNNNNNNNNNNNNNNNNNNNNNNNNNNNNNNNNNNNNNNNNNNNNNNNNNNNNNNNNNNNNNNNNNNNNNNNNNNNNNNNNNNNNNNNNNNNNNNNNNNNNNNNNNNNNNNNNNNNNNNNNNNNNNNNNNNNNNNNNNNNNNNNNNNNNNNNNNNNNNNNNNNNNNNNNNNNNNNNNNNNNNNNNNNNNNNNNNNNNNNNNNNNNNNNNNNNNNNNNNNNNNNNNNNNNNNNNNNNNNNNNNNNNNNNNNNNNNNNNNNNNNNNNNNNNNNNNNNNNNNNNNNNNNNNNNNNNNNNNNNNNNNNNNNNNNNNNNNNNNNNNNNNNNNNNNNNNNNNNNNNNNNNNNNNNNNNNNNNNNNNNNNNNNNNNNNNNNNNNNNNNNNNNNNNNNNNNNNNNNNNNNNNNNNNNNNNNNNNNNNNNNNNNNNNNNNNNNNNNNNNNNNNNNNNNNNNNNNNNNNNNNNNNNNNNNNNNNNNNNNNNNNNNNNNNNNNNNNNNNNNNNNNNNNNNNNNNNNNNNNNNNNNNNNNNNNNNNNNNNNNNNNNNNNNNNNNNNNNNNNNNNNNNNNAUGGGUUUGUGGUUAAAAAUCUCAUUUAGAUAGAGUUUUUGAUGGGUAAUUAUGAAAUUUGACAUAAAGGGUACAUGAUUAAAAAGGUGGGAAAGGAAGAUGCGAAAAGAAGGUAAGAAGGAAUCAAUUCAUGGCAAAAAAGAAAAAUAAAUAAGAGGGAAGAAAGAAGACAUAUAUUGAUGGGAGGCGGAGGUGGGAUAGGGAGGUGAGAGAAAGAUGUAACAACAAAGAAGGGUUUAGCGAAAGGUGAUAUAAACAAAAUUAAUUUUGUAAGAAAAUAUUUUUUUUAAUGCCAUGUCAACUAGUUUGUAACUUUUAGUGUCCAUGUCAACAAACAAAAUUUUAUAAAGUUACCAAAAUUCAAAAUUUGUGUUACGAAAAGUAUUUCUAAUAGAUUGUGCCAUUUUCGGUAAAGGCUUAAUAGGUUGUGCAUUUAAGAAAAAAAAUAUUAUUGUGUUUCUACAAUUAACAUCAAUUAUCACCAAACCAUUAAAUACUAAAAACCAAUUAAGAUAUAGUCAUGUUACAAAAAAUGACUCUUGUUAUGAUUUUUUUGUUUAUGCAAUGAUAGGAUGAGAUUAAAAGGUUAAUUUCUUUUUCGACAAAACUUGUAAAAUAUUAUUAAACUCAAUUAGAUAUAAUAUCAUCUACAGUUGGUCAAUCAAAAAAAUUGAGGGUCUAUCCACCGAAACAAUCGUGGAGUUCCAAUGAGUCUGAUUAUACGCCAUAACAUGGGUAAGCUUGUUAACUUAUCUCCGGCCAUGACGCCAAUUACCACAAUCAAACUUUGCCAAAAGGCAACGAAUUAUGGACUAAAAUCCAUGUUCGGUAUGAUGAUCUUCCACAUGAUGCAAAGUCUCAACCAUGAUCAAGCUAUCACUUUCAAGAACCACAUUAGGAUACCUAUGUUGCAAGGCCAAUUGUUAGCAAAAUCUUGCCUCGACCGCCUCAGUUAAAGUAGGCUCAUAGCAACCCUACAAUUUCAACAUAUCCGCCAUUAAGUAAUGCCGAACGCCAUCCCAGAUAACCACCCCAAUACCCAUUCUGGAUCCUGUAAUGAUAGUUGCGUUUAAGGUAGUGAAACUGGUGAGUCAACAUGGGAUCGAAAAGGGACCUAGAAUCGUAAUCGUAAAAUCAAAUCGCAAAAUCAUAAAAUUUCACGGUUCUUCAAUAAUACUAAAUAUUCAGAAAUUCACCUUAGCAUAAAGACGUAAGUUCAUUAUCCAAUCUAAAAUUAAAAAUAAAAUCUCAAAUUCACCUUAAUAGGUUCUUCAGUUGCACUACUUUGAGCUGAUUUUCGAGUCUAGGAGACCGGAGACAAAAUCUGUGAACAAAAUUGUACAAUCUUACAACAAAAAACAAAAUACCUUCGAACAAAGAACCUAAACACCAAAAAUCCAAAACUAAUCUAACAAAAACAGAAUUAGAGAAAGGAAUGGGAUGAUGAGCAAAAUCAUGGAAUGGGAUGAUGAAGAAUCAUGGAAUCAAGGAAACAGAGAUACCUUCGAGCCGUAGGAGUGGCUGGAGCGAUGGGGACGACCAAAGAGGCUAUGACGAGGACCAUUGACUCCUGGUUCUGGUCUUCUAGACUUCUGGGGGACGACCGACGGGGGAGACGACAAGAGAGAAGACUGAGGAUCGAGCAGAGAUCGAACGAGCAAUCGACGACUUGCACAAUUUUUUUCAGAAGAUAAAUGAAUUUAAGGUUCGAUUUUUUGCCCAAAAUUGAACUCGGAUUUCCGUUUCGGUUCGAACCGAAGCAUAAAAACCAGCGGUCAGCACAGAGUAGUGGACUCGUGAAUCGUUGUAAACUCGUUCGAUUCCACGAUUUUCACGAUUUUGCGAGCGAUUUCAUGCCAUUAUAAGCCAUUUUGAUUGCGCGUGAAAUCUGACUCGACGGACCUAACAAAACUCGUAAAAUCGUCGAUUCCACUUCCUUCGUUGUGUAUGUACUGAUAUGGGGUUCCUGGUUUAGUGGUUGAACCGGGGUUGGACCGUUUUUAAACCGGGUCGGCCAUUUUAAAUAUUACAUAAAGUUAAAUCGGACCGAAAAAAUAUUGGAUUGAACGAAAUCAAACUGACAGUACAAAUAGUCAAAUUUUGAGAUUUAACCUUUGAAAAUUGAACAAUUUUAAAAAAUUUAUGUACAUUAUGAUGUUAUUCUUUUUUAAGUUUAUGUAAUAUAAUGAUAUUAUCUAUAGUUGAAGUCUUCCACACAUAUAUAUCUAGAAUGCUAAAGAAACCCUAAUGGAUCUUUCAAUCUUUCUUUAAUUGGGCUCCAACUACUCAAUACCCUCUCUCACACUUUUUUUCUCUAUAGAGAAACUCUCUCCCUUUUUCAUCAGAUUUUUUUCUCCUUGUAAUCUAAUCUUAUUUUUCUAAUAUUUUCAUUCUAUUUCUUCCCUAUUUGUCUCUUUUACUUUUUUCUUUUUGGAAGGUUAUUAGAAAAAGAGGACCACUAAAUAAUUCCGUCGACGUCCAGCAAUAGGGUUUUCCAAUUUUUUCACAGAUGGAUCCAUGUUUCCAAAGUUCUUUUGUUUUUUUUUCUGAUCUGAUAGUUGGUUCUUUAACUAGUUGAAUUAUCUGGUUUUCCGGGGAAAUCGGGUCAAUCCUCAGUUUUGUUCAUUCUCCUCAACCGCUAACUCAGUAUUGAUCAAAUGAUCGGUUCACAGUCGGACCGGCCGGGCUGAUAUGGUUUUGCUAACAUUGAUCUUAGUAGAGCCGACUAGAGGCCAUUCCAACCGAGCCACAAUGGCCUCAUACGAAAAACUCCUAGUUACCCUGAGUUCUUGAUAAUAAAUAAGAAUUGGAGUGCUUGUGCUAUGAUAUCACACUCCAAUUAGUGAAACUCAUUAAGCAUACACACAUUCCUUUCUUUCCAUCAGAAUCACAUAAGCAUUACCCAUCUUUCCAACUCCAAAUUCAAAACUUUGCGGUUGCUAAGUGAGAACCAAUCGCAUCAGUCAUUAGAAUCAUCAAAAUCAACCAGUGAUCAUGUUUAGAGUUACCUCAAAUCCGCCAAGUCCAUUGGCAAUCUCGGAAAUAGUGAAUUUGCAGGCAACCUGCAAAAUGGGCAUAUAUCACCAUGUCGAGGAUUAUGCUUAUACAUAUUAUACCUGUAGGUAAAAUUUACGAUGAAAUUUUCAUAAGAACUGCUCACCUUCGACGGAAUCUACAAUGACCAAGAACAAUUCCAAACAUCCGAGUUGCAAUUUGGAUUAAGACCCACUAAAAGAAAACCGUGUCCAUUAUUACGGAUAAAACCGGCCGUUGUCACUGAUAUUUCCAUGUCCCUGCCUCGUUGUCGCGGGAAAAUCAUCCGCGACAACGGGCGCCUUCAUAAUGAGGGGUGNNNNNNNNNNNNNNNNNNNNNNNNNNNNNNNNNNNNNNNNNNNNNNNNNNNNNNNNNNNNNNNNNNNNNNNNACGGCCGCCUUCAUAAUGAGGGUUGUGGGGACUAAACUAUCCGCGAAAAAUAGGGUUGGCGCGAACCCGUUAUGACCGGUUUGGUUCAAAUAGUUAGGUUGAAAGGCAUUUUAACAAGUUUAUCCGCAAAAACGGCAAGAGAUAUCCGCGACAAUGGCUAACAACAUUUGUUUUGCCGUCAUAACGGUUCCCCUAACGACGUUGAGUUUAUCCACGGCCAAGGUUGACAUUGUUAGUUUCUCCAUCCUACCCGUAAUGGUUGUUGUGCCAAAUACUAGGCCAUAAUAUCUGCGACAACAGCUCAAGUACUGCCUAAAAUUUUGUUAUUUUUGCUUGUUUCGUCCACUGUGGGCGCCUAAAAUAAAAGUUUAUAUAUGCACUAUUCUACACAUAACACAAUAUAUACCAAUAUCAUUAGCAUAACGAUAACACAUAUGAUCAUCCAAGAGUUAAUACUAUAACAUAAUCCAUAGAUCUACUCCAACAUAAUUCCUUGAUUUUUUACCUAACUAAAGUCAUUAGUUCACUAGACUACAUCACUAUCAACCUAGAUAUAACUACACUAGAGACUCGUCAUCCUCAUCCUCGUCAUUAUGACCAAGAUCCUUAUUAGCUCAAGUAUACAAAAGAAGAUAUAUAAAAUUGAAAUUAGGUUAAAACACAUAAAAUUAAGUAACAUGAACUUUAUAACAUAUAAAGAUUACUAAUAAUUUACCCGCCACAUCGUAGUCGUAGUUCUGUUGGAUGUGGUUAUAUUAUAUUAACCGCUACAAUCGUCGUUACGGAUCAUUAUCCGUGUCCGACGAUGACCUAACCGUGACACCCGUUAUCGCGGAUAUUAUCCCCCAUAACUAAUCUACGUCAGACAUCAAAUUUUGUUGUAGUGGCCAAGCUAUUCUUUAAAGCUAGUCAGCCAGUUUUAAUACCCCUAUUUUUUCGAAUAAACAGCUUUACUACUUGAAAUCCAAAUAAGCAUUCCGAUUCUUGAACAUCGCAAUGAAUAAUUUGCACGAUAGAAGUUGAUAUAGUUGACCAAAAACAGCUUUCAAUAAGAGCAGUAUUCUACUGAUAAGUCGUUCGAUUAACCAACUCACGAACUGUAGCAUCAACAUCAAACCUCAUCGGCGUAGAGGUCACAAAAUUACCGGGUACUAACGGAAGCCAUCCGUCUCCCCAAAUUCUAACGGACAUACAAUUUCCCACCCACCACCCAAGGCCACUCCAUACAAAACAUUGAGCACCAAAAAGGCUAUGCCAUAUAAAGCUAAACCCAACUCAGCUUUAAAGACAUAAUAGAAUUUUUAAAAUACUUAGCUUUCAUAAUUCUUACAAUAAGGGAAGAUGCUCUUGAGUGUAAGUUCCAAAGAUGUUUAGCAAGUAAAGUAAUGUUAAAGCCUAAAAAAUCACAUAAUCCCAUCCUAGCUUCGGAUUUCAAACUCAAUAGAUAUUCUUGACAAAAUGAGGGAUGAGCACUGGGUCGGGUCACCCAUCAAAACCCACCCGCCUAUAAUCACUCUCUACCACUACUACCCUUUUCCCCAUCACCAUAAAACUUUGCAUGCUUGUUUGUGUGUUUUUGUAGUUUUUUUGUGUGUUUUAUGUCGCUUUUCAUCGUUUGAGUAGAGAGAGAGAGGGAGAGAGAGAGGGAGAGAGAGAGAGGGAGAGAGAGUAUUUCAAGGGUUGCAUGUCAUACCAAUGAUUAAGAAUGCAUGAUAGAAGGUCUCGAUUCAAAUUAGGGUUCGGUCGGUGUCUGAUCGAAGGACGAAUGAUGCUUGCAUUAUUUUAUUUUUACUGAAAAAUUGGGCUUCUGGAGCAGCCUUUAGAUCAAUCUCAAGGUGUGUGGCUUUGCAUAGUGUGUGUCGUUUCCUUAAGUUUCUCUCGAUAGAAAAUCGAGUUUAUGGCGUGUGAUCCCACAUGCCAUGUGACUGAUUUUUGACAAAACGAACCGACCAAAGAACAACCAAAAACCCAACCGGCUCAAACCGUAAUGAACCAGAUUGAUUUUCAAACCGAUUUUCAACCAAAUCAAACUGAGUUUGACCAGACGCAUUGACCCUUCGUUGACCGGCCGUUGCCCCCGUUGACCGGUCACCAUGGAAGAAAAAACAUGGCAGUUUAGUAGUAUUUUGGGCAUAACAUUUUGCUCGGGAGUCUGAUUGACACAAGGUCAGUGACGUUGGAAACUUGUUCAGUUGCCUACAACUUUGAUGUCAUGAUGUGGCCUAAAUCCAUGCAGUUUGUGCUCAUUUUUCUUGGUUUGGAUUGAUGGAAUUUGAGAAAGUUUGAAUUGUGGUCUUGUUUGGUUUGAUGAUUUGGUGCGAUCGUGAUCAAUUUCUUGAUAGUAUUAUAGUGAUAUGUUCAUUGCAAAUGCUAACGUUUGGGAUGGUUGUCCAAAAUGGAUAAUUCUAGCUUUGCAAUGUGAAGAUUGCUGGAUGUUGAGACGUGAUCACUUUGUCACUCUUGUAUCGAUGGCAUGUUGUUGAUUUUCAUGAGAACUUGGAAUGGCAUCAUGAUGCUUCAAAGUGUGGUUGAACGUAGGUUGUUACUAGGCCUGAGAGUCGGUUAAUUUGGUUACUAACCAUCUGCUUAAUGUUCGGGGAAAAUGAUUUGGAGAUUAAAGUUGGUUAAUCGGUUUAACUGACCGACCAUAUGUAAUGGUUAAAAAGCCGACCAAUAACUGAUAAAUCGGUUAAAUAACCAAUUAUUAACCAACAGAUUAGUCGGUUAAUCCUAUGAACUGACUUUGAUUGAUUGACCGACUAUACCGACUUAACCUAACAAGAUCUGAAUCUCCAUGCUCAUCUCUGCCAUCGAGUGAGCCACGUUCUGCUCAUGAUAACCGUUCGUCCAAGCAUUCAUACUCUACUAAGAAAGCUUGCCAUGGCCGCCACUCUGAACACCGGUCAAAGAACUGAAUACUUGUUCCAAGAUCCGAACUUCCAGAACCGUCUCCAAUCCAUCUUCCCAAUUGUAGUUUGGACAAAGUUUCCUCAUCUGAAUUUUUACUCAAUCACACAACUACAACCUACACGACAACCAUAAUCAAUAGAGUGGAGGGGGAUAGGAUGAAACAGAGGACUGGUUGAAAUUAUAUGGGCCUAUGUUGCAUCCUCAAUAGCUCGUCGUCGCCAAGCCUCACUGAGCCGUCCCCGAGAGAGGAAGAGACGUAGAGUCUAGAGAUCGUGCUUUACUAGUGCUCAACACUCAUGGAGCCGUCACUGAGAGAGGAACAUAAUCCCUAAUGAAUCGUGAAAUCGAGAAUGAACGGGGAUAAGUGAAUAUGUUUGUGUGUGUGUGAGUUUGACCUAAAAAUGGGGGGAUUGGGAAUACGACGUAGACAUUUGGGUUCAGACUUGGGGUUCUUUUGACCGAUUAAUGUUGGUUAACACAAGUUAACUGACGGGUUUUAACCGAUUCACCGUUUAACUGAAGUCAGUUUUUCUCUUUGACCGUCCCCCAACCAACCUGUAGCUCGAUUAAACCUUCCUCUAACUUAUUCGGUCGGUUAAUCAAUUUUAAACGAUUAACCGAAACUGAAUUCCUACCCUUAGUUGUUACUAGGUGCUUUUGUUGCUCCCAAUUGAUGAUUUGUGAUUAUUUCCAUGCUCAUUUAAUUUGCUUCCAUUGCUCAUAUUUUGUCCUACCAUUACCCUUGAUGACUCAUUGGUUACUCACUGUUUUGGUAAAUGGUUCAAAGAAGCAUGAGGCAUAUUACUAGUCCAUUUGUUCCUGUAAUGAUAUAUCUUUGACCUCACCUUUUGGUAUAACUUGAAUGAUGCAUACGUUGUCACUUCAUGCUUUGCAUACACUCUUUAUGCUCGUUCUUGUUCAUUGGACUUGGUCAACAUUUGUGAGGAUUUCUUUGUGGCAAUUGAUGAUAAAUGAGUUAAGGUGGUCCCAUAGCUUUUGCUUACCCUUGUCUUACUAAUUUAUGAAUUAUAGGAUGCUCUUGUUUAGGAUUGCUAGUUAGUCUUGCUUGAGAAUAACUAGUUAUCUUCUUCAUUGGUUUUGCCUUUCUUUUACAUCUUGCCUAUGCCAUGUCUACUUAUGAGCUAUUUAUUGCCUAUCGUUGCCUAAUUCGAUUGGAUGCUUAUUGAGGUGGUUCCUUAGUGGCCGUAGGAUUAUGGGUUGACACCUCUACAUGCUUGAUGUGUAUGAUUAUUCUCCAUUUCGAAAUUUUCAAUGAUACUUUAAAGUCAAAUUUGAAUGCUCUUUACAAAUGUGUCAAUUUUGGCACAGUUUUCAAGGAUUCAUCAUUUAGUGUUUAUAAUUCAUUUUCGUUUUAAAUUUUCGUUUCCCACAUUUACUUUUCAUGUUUUGUUGCUUUUAUUGUUUUAAAUUUUAUUAUUUUUAUUUUAAUAGGCUUACUUUCCUUGUAUAUCCCCAAUUGUAACUUGGUAUCCGUAUUCUCAACUAAAUCAACAAAUGACACCAAAUAACUUAAAAUUGAGAACUAUAAGAGCUCAAAAGAAGGAGAUUUAGCAGAGUCUCUUAUAGGUUUCAAAAAAGCGAGGAAGGAUCUUCAAGUGGAGAGGACCCUUUCUCCUCCCUAACUCCAAUGGCGAACAAAACUCUAGCAUUAGACCACCUAAAGUCAGACGAUAAGCCAUGCAUUCAUCUCGUGGACUUUAUCUUCUAUUGCGACACCAUCAAGCUACACGGUGUUUCUGUUGAGGUUCACAUCGUGUUCCCCUUGAGUUUCAGCAACCAUCCACUCCAAGCACCUUAAAUCAUCCGUCUUAGUUUCUGCUUGUCCCCAAACACCGUACAUCGCAUGUACUUCGUGAUUUUUCCAUUCUUUGAGGCAUUUAGCUCCUCCUUGUACAUCAUACAGUUAUGAAUAAUGCCUCGACGUUGUUGUGUGCCUGAAAUUGAUAAAAAACACAACGCAACAACAUCAAAUGGACCCCAAACGGGUAUGAGACACUAAAUCGAGAUAGAAGUUACAAAUGCACAAAACAUCAUGUCGUGAAUGUUUCGAUCCGCGACACCGAUGGCUUGAAAUAUUUCAGAGUCGCCACCAAUCUGUUGAAGCGGAUUGGACGCUGUCGACAUAACCCAGGUCCUUUUGGACGUGAGUUAGAACAGGUCUGCGGAACAGAGAUCCUGGAUUCGAGAGGCGGUUACGUGCAGGGAAGGAUUAGCACCCCCAUAGCGCCCGUCAAACCGGUACUACUAAAUUUGAUAAGUUAUGUUUUAUUUUCUUAGUUUAGUGGUUUAAUUAUGCUUUAGUUUGGACGCAUAAGGUUAUGUAAAUUUUUUAGAGAAUAUUUUUAUUCAAUUGUAAGUCUUUAUGAGUUCCCACUCUUGUGGAAAUUUUUUUUUAUGUUGAUAAAUAUUUUGAGUUGAACAUUCUUAAUUUAAUUGUUUGGAUUUACGAAUUCCCAUUCUUGUGGAAAUUUUGUUUUACGCUGGUGAAUAUUUUUAAGUUGGUUAUUUUUAAUUUAUAUGUUUGGACUCAAGUCUUACGACUGCCUACGUACCUAAUUCUUUGGGAUCAAAGAUCAUGUAGUUCGUUAUGGAAAAGUUGAUUUGAGGAUUUUUUGUAAUUUUUACUAUUAUAAAAACCACGUUAUCAUGCUCAUUUUUUAUUUGAAAGACAUUUAUUUGGUUAUUUCAAAGUUGGAACUUUAUUUGCCCACUUAUGAUUAAAUGAUAAUUCUACAAAAUUCGAAACUCUUGUCACGGAUACGAAAUUCAUAUAACAUUGCUAUAAUAUCUUUAAAGGAUUAUUAUUAAGGAAAUUUCACAUUUUUUGCCAAUCGAAAAAUUAAUUGGUUUAUAUCAGUUAACUUAAUUUGACAUAAUUAAAAAUGCAUUACAAGACGGUUAACGAACUUACAUUUAAAUAAAUAUGUCACAAGUAUUUUUGGUGAUUUGACAAUUCUAUUGUGGUUAUGUUAAUGUUAAUUAAAAUGAUACGUUGAUUUGAAUAAUUGUAAAGUUUUGAGUUUUUAAGUUUACAACUUUAAGGUAUAAAUAUCAAAUAGGAUUAAAGAAGGUAUGACGUUUAUUCUGUUAUUCUUCCACACUUAUUUCACUUUUAUUCCACUCUUAAUAUGGCCUUAAUGAUAUAUGAAUAUAAUUGAAUCGACUAAAGGCUUGGCCUUUCUAAAUUAAUUGUGCCCAAGCUCGAGCUCGGCCCAACCGAACGAUGAGCCGAACCGGCGGGUAAGAGGAGGGCAGCCCGCGUGCCAAACUGGUCGAACCGGUUAUCCACGGUUCGAUCAGAAAACUCAAAAAGAUGAAAUUGCCCCUAGCGUUCCGUGCGCUGAAGAAGGGUGGCAGGGGAAAUUUUGUAACUUCACCUUAAACCUAAUCGGCCUUAUAAAAGGGCCUCUUAAAUCGAGAAAUGACUCAUUUGCAACUUCCCACUCUCUCUUUAUCAUCCCUCUUUCUAAACCGCCGCCCUUCUCCCCCCCCCCCCCCCCCCCCCCCCCACCCACCUUUAUCACGGAGUGUGCUGUUUUUUUCUAGUUCCUUUCUCUUCUUCUCAGCCGCCCUUUUUUGCCUCCUCUUACCUCUCAGGACCCCUCUUUCUACCUCCGUUUUUUCGAUUUUUCCAGAUUUGGACUUGCAUGUCAUCGGAGGAUACUCCGGUGAGUCCUCCGGCAAAAUGCAAGUCUCGAUCUGUAGAUCUAAUGUUUUAUUUUGGUAUUAAACAAUUUUGGUUAUUUGAGGGUGGUACCGACGGGGGUGGCGGGGAGGUAGAGAAAUGGAAAAAAGAGAAAGUUAGGUAAGUAAGAUUUCUUCCCUAUUCCUUUUGAUUAAUGUCUGGUUAAUUGCUAACGAAGCUAACUACCGGUUUCUUUGAUGACUUUUUUUAUGUCUUUGAAAAUGGGCAUAGUCGACAUGUUUUGGAAAAUGAGAGGAAAAGGAGAAGAUUGCUUUUAGGAGGUAAGACAGCUAAUUUUGAACCCAUUCUAAUUUUUCUAGGUAGAAGUAACAAUUCUAUUUGUUGAUAAGUUGCAUAAGAAACUAGGUUUGUUUUGUUACUGAAGUUGUAGUAGUAGUCUAGGUGUUUUAAAAAGUUUUGUUUGAAAAACUUUAUUUUUUUUACUAUUGUUUAAAUUUUUUUAGCAACAUUGUUUAUUCCAAAAAUCCGUAUUUUAACUCGAUUUUACUAUGAGUUUCAUAGUUCUUUAGGUCUUUGGUGCGAAAAUGAUGAAAGAUGGCUAUAGGUUUCGUUGUUAAUACUUUCCAAUAACUUUUAGUUCAUUUUUGAAGCUUAUUUGAUUGAUUUGUUGGUUGUUUAUUAAAAUGAAUCAUUUAUUUGAUUAGUUGCAACGAAUCAUUGGGUUCAAUAGUAGUUUAGAAGGUUGCUAAGUGAUAUAGCAUAACAAUGUAUAUGUAUGAAUGAUGUGUGAAUGCUUCAGAAUAGGGAUGUUUUGAAUGAUUACCUUCAUUCAAAAUUUCUCUUUUAUCGUAUUUCAGGUGGCGGCGCCUAUCGUGAGUGACGUCAAACCGAUUUGGCGGCUUCUAUGUGUAUGGCGACAAAAGAUGUUGUAAAACUUAUUUUUUUACAGUUUUGUAAUUAUUUCCCGGGACUUUGAACGAGUGAUGUUGGUGUAUUAUUUUUGGGGGUUUUGGGAAGAACUGGGGGACGAAUUUUGAAAACUGUAAGCUCCUCUUUUUGCUGAUUUUUGUCAGUCCAUUUAAAUGCAGAAAGGGCUACAGUCACUUCUUUUAACCAACCACAUCUUGCAAAGUUUUCUGACAAAAAUAAAAGGUGGCAGCUCCCCAAAUAAUAACCGUAACGGGCCCGAUAUUGGGCUUGAAAUAAGGCCUGGAAUCGGGCCCGAAAUCAAAUUGGGUCUAACACAUAAAUAGUUUCGAGAUAAGGGAUUUUGCCGAAUUUCGAGAUAGCGGACUUGAGGUCCACUCAUUUCGGCCGUUUCCGUUUAAAAAGAUCUAAAACAAAAUCGGCUUAGAACAGUCUGUAACAUAAUAAUUACAUCUCGAAAAUAUGCUAUUUGGCUACCAAGUUCUCCCCUAACGUGCACUUUGAUUAAUUUAACUGAAUAAACUUCGCAACAAGUAAAAUCUCGACGCUAAAUCCUUCCUAGAGAUGCUACGACUAUUUAGUGAAAUGACACUGGCGUGCAUUCUUCACUCGAACGAAAUUUGGUUACUACAGUUGUCCCUCUUUGUAUUACUUUCGCUUGGAAGUGGAAAGUGGUACAAAGACAGAAACCAAAUUUCGGACGAGCGCCUGAACUUCUCACGUCAAGUCCACUAGGGUCCAAGGAUCUGCCACAACAUCGGGUAGAAAACAAAAUUUGCAACCUGACCACACAAACAACAUGCAAUGCAUUUCCCUAUGGGUGUUAGGGUGAAUGUACUAGGGACUCAGCUUGACUUAUCUCCCGUUCCAUGGGUUGACUAUACUAGGGACUCAACUCGACUUAUCUCCUGUUCCAAGGUGCAAUCCGCUUUCCCCAGGAUGCUAAGGGUUGAUGUACUAGGGAUUCGACUAGACUUAUUUCCCGUUCCAACGUGCGAUCCGUUUGCCUUAGGACGCUAAGGGUUGAUGUACUAGGGAUUCAGCUUGCUUAGUUCCCGUUCCAUGACUACAAAUGUGUUGAUGAUGAAUGGUUUCGAAAGAGUUUGAGUAAGGCUCCCCCUUUUUGAAAAAAACAUGCAUCUGAUGGCAAUGCUUGAUUGAUAUUUUUCAUCAUUUUCACUCCGACGAGAUUCACUGUUUUGUUUUCUUGUCGCUUAGUUCGCACUACGUGCUAGCGCAAUGGUGUCAACCCUGCUGAUAGCUGGGUAACCUUUAAUGUAUGUGCCCAUUUUUCUUUGUUUUUCCCCCGACGUCUUCAUAUUAUUCCCAUGCCUUGGGAUUUUAAGGAUCUCUUUCCUACUUUGUCUCUACUUCUAGAUAUAAUGGUAAGAUAACGACGACCUUUGUAAAUUUCUUUCUUCGGUUAGGAAUAAGUGGAGAAAUCCUGCCAUCCGGGCUUCUUUUCUUUAACCCUUCCCUUUUACUAAUUUUUUCAUUCUUUCAACGGUUUUCAUUAUUAUUACUAUUAUUUUUCUCCCUUUUGUCUUCACUUUACCGCUAAUUUCAUUUGAAAAGACCUCCUAAUGAUUAAUUAGAGCGAAGGUGUUUGCACGAACGCAUUUGCCUCAAGUUCCUGUGGGGUGUUGUACCUCAUCCAUUUUGUUUGGUGAUGCGUGAACAAUGGUUAGGAGAGUAGUAUUUGAGAAUUCAUGAAGUAUCCAAAACUUAAAGUUGACUUAAAUUAUCACUUUAUUGAUGGAAAACCGAUCACGUAGAUCUCCGUCAGGAACUUUAAGCAUAGUACUUGUUUACUGAAUAAGAGUUAAAUAGGUAAGGGAGCUUGUCUCCGUCCAUGUUUGCCAGUAUUAAUGCCCCCCUGAGAAAGCCCUUUCCCCUACAUAGGGCCCUUCAUAGUUCGGCUUCCACAUUCCUCUUGGGUCCCCUUGUCAAAUGGAAAUCUUCUUCGUUACCAACUCUCCUUCGCGAAAUUCCCGUGUUUCACUUUUUUUUAAAAGAUCUGAUAAAUCUGCACUGAUACAGGCGUUAGUGGUGGAUAGCUGCCAACCUUUUCUCAUCAAUUUAAUUUAACUGGUCGUAUGCCGCUUUUACCUACUCAACUUGUUCUAACUUCGCCUCCAUGAUAACCCUUAGUGAAGGCAUUUCUACGUCCAUGGGAAGCACUGCCUCCAUCCCAUAGACCAAUUGGUAAGACGUCGAUCCCGUUUAGGUUCUUACUGAUGUUCAGUAACCGUGCUGGGUAAAUGGUAGAAUUACGUGCCAAUCGCGGUCGGUAACGACCAUUUUCUGUAUGCUUUUCUUGAGGUUUAUUGUUUGUCAGCUCGACCGCUCCGUUCAUCUUUGGUCGGUAUGGUACCGAGUUGUGGUGCUUAAUCUUAAACUUGUUGCAAAGCUCAUGCAUCAUCUUGUUGUUGAGAUUUUUCGCAUUGUCGAUUAUUAUUCUUUCCAGGAGCCCAUACUAGCAAAUGAUUUCCUUUUGUAUGAACUUUUUGACAACGCUCUUGGUAGUGUUUGCAUAUGACACAACCUCGACCCAUUUCGUGAAAUAGUCGAUGGCUACUAGGAUGAAACGGUGCCCAUUAGAUGCUUUUGGUUCAAUCAUGCCUAUGACCUCAUGAUGCAAAAGGCCAAGGCGAUGCCAUAAUGUGCAACGAUGAUGGAGACACGUAUUUCUCACCGGCAUAAACCUGGCACUUAUGGCAUUUUCUCACGUGUUUUACAUAGUCAGAGUUCAUCUUCGUCCAAUAGUAACCCAUCCUUAAUAUCUUCUUAGCUAGCGCAUGACCACCGACAUGUGUGCCGCAGACUCCCUCAUGGACUUCUUUUAUUGUUCUCUGAGAUUCAGGGGCAGCUACACAUCUUUGCAGCACAAAAUCAUGGCUUAGUCUGUAGAGGGUAGUCCUAUGAACAUAGUAACCCAUCUCCAAUCUCCGUAGAGUCCUUUUAUCAUUUUCAGAUGCCCUAGCUGCGUACUCCCUUUUAUGUAGGUAGGUCUUUAUGUGAUGGUGCCAGGGAUUCCUCAUGCUCUUUUUGGACUCUACCUAGGUAGGCAGGUGCAUUUUUCUUUUUGAUUUUGCUUCAUGGGUUAACCUCGGUCUCGUCCAGUUUGUACAUCGAGGACAAUGUGGCGAGAGCAUCCGCUAUUUGAUUGUCGACUCGCGAGAUGUGCUCAAACUGUAUCGACUCAAAUUUUGCGGCCAUUUCCCCUAUGUAUUUAUGGAAUGGGACAAGCUUAUGACCCCUAGUUUCCCAUUUUCCUUCAACUUGUAUAUUACUAGCGCUGAAUUACCAUAUGCCUUCAAAUUCUUAAUAACCAUUUCGAGGGCUCCUCGGAUCCUGAAAGUGCACGAUUGGCACUCUGUUAUGUUGUUGGUGCAAUCGAAGCAAAUUUUGGCAGUAAUAGGGCACACCCUCCCUUCAGAAGAGACAGAAACGACGCCGACGCCCUGUCCCAAUGAGUUUGAGGCCCCGUCAAACUUCAUCACCAAUGUUUUUUGGACGAAGCCUUCCACUAAUUUCUCAGUGUUCAGUAUAGUUUCAUCCGGAAAUUCCAUUAACAUCGGAUUCGUGUCCGAGAUUGCAUGCUCCGCUAGAUGUUCUGCCACUACACUCCCUUCAAUGGCCUUCCUUCGGAUAUAAACGAUGACGUAUUCUGCCAGCAGCACUUGCCAUUAGCCUAUCCAUCUGGAGAGGGCCAACUUUUCGUGGACAUCCUUGAUAGGGUUCAUUUUUUAUAUUAGGAGCUUCGUGUGAUAUAACAUGUACUAUCUCAGCCUUAUGGCUACCCAUACAAGUGCUCCGCAAGUUUUCUCGAGCGAUGUAUAUCGAGAUUCGUAGUCAUGAACUUCUUGCUGGUGUAAUAUAUUGGCGCGCUCUUUCCUUCCCGAUUCAACAUGUUGGGCCAACAUCGCGCUUACCAAAUUUUCAAAUACCGUGAAGUACAAUAUUAGUGACCUUCUAGAAGUUGGUGGGGCCAGAACCGGAGGGUUUAAUAAACACCCUUUGACUUUCCGAAAGGCAUGAUGACAACCUUCAUCCCACUCGACAUUCCGGUUCUUCUUUAAAAGCUUGAGAAUGGGUUCACACGUUAAGCUCAAAUGCGAUAUGAACCGACUAAUGUAGUUCAAGCGUCCUAAGAAUCCUAGCACCUCUUUAUGCAUUUAGGGAGGAGGUAUGUCAACCAUUGCCUUCACUUUGUCAGGGUCCACUUCAAUCCCCUUUUGGCUAACCACGAAACCGAGCAGCUUCUCCGAGGUGACUCCGAACGUACACUUUUCUGGGUUCAGCCAGAGCUGGUACUUCCCGAGUCGCUCGAGCAAUUUUCAUAGCACAGUUACGUAGUCGUCUUCCUUUUAUAACUUUGCUAUAAUGCCAUCCAGAUAUACCUAUAUUUCUUUGUGUAUCAUGUCAUGAAACAGUGUGACCAUGGCCCGCUGGUAAGUUGCCCUAGCGUUCUUCAGCCCAAAAGACAUAACUUUAUAGCAAAAGGUUCCCCAUAAAGUGAUGAUGGUCUUUUUUUCUCGAUCAUCCGAAACAUCCUGAUAUGGUUGUAUCUUGAGAAACUGUCCAUGAAAGAGAACAUAUUAGUUGACGGUAUUAUCAACGAGGACAUUUAUGCGAGGCAAAUGGAAGUUGUCCUUUGGGCUUGCCCUAUUUAAAUCUCUGUAGUCUACGCACAUUCUCAUUUUUCCAUUCUUCUUAGGCAUAGGGACCAUAUUAGAGAUCCAAUCGGUGUAUUACGCCACCUGUAAGAACCCGAUUUCGUAUUGUUUCUGCACUUCUUCCUUAAGUUUGAGUAUCCAUUCCGGUUUCAUCCGCCAUAACUUUUGCUUUACUGGCUUGCACUCCUCCUUUAUUGGCAAGUGAUGUGUUACUAUUGUUCAUCGAGGCCCAACAUAUCUUGAUAAGACCUUGCGAAAACGUCCUAGAAGUUCUGGAGUAGUUUGACGAGCCUGUUCUUUUCUGCUUGGUCUAAACUGUCCCCUACCUUAACCUGUCGCCGAUUGUCCUCUGUUCCCAAAUUCACGACCUCUACUGACUCGUAGAAAGGUUUCAAGGAUCGCUCUUCUUAUCCUGCCAUCCAAUCUGUUUCUAGGUUAGAACCAUCACUGGCUUCCUCGGUUUCCAUCUCAUAAACUGGGUGGUGAAAGUCAACUUUAGUGUUUCGUACCUCUUCAUUGUUUUCAAACACAUCUGUAACCCUGUUACGUGACGGGAAAUAGAAAAGGGAAAAAGAAGAAAAGCGGAAGUGAAUAAUAUAGACGAUGCACGGAUUGAGACUUAUGAAAACAUGCUUUAUCAAACAUGUGAAAAUGUGAUACAUGCAUUCAGGAUCACUUAAAAAACACUAGGAAGCCCUUGCUUAUUUUAUUUAGUAGUCAUAUUUUAGAGUUAUUACAUCUGCAAUGGCGAAAGUAACUCCAAAGCCUCCCAAUUGCUUAGCUCUUCCUUUGGACGGAGCUGCCGCACCCAUUUUAUUCCGGUCAUAAUUCCCGUACCCAGCAUGCUGAUGAAGAGAUCUGCAAAAUCCGACUGUAACUCUUUGGUGGUCGGAUCAGUGUAGUUUUUCCUCACAUUUAUCUUUCCAGCAUUCUUGCUUGUGAUGUGAGGUAUGAAAGUCAGGCCUUCAUCAUCUUCUGUCCCACUUAACCUGGACACCCUCCUCCUUAUCCGUUCCUUUUGGAUCCUCCUUAUAUCAUCAUCGUUUAGAAUGUAUCGCAAUCCCGCACGGUUCUUAUUUUCUUUGACCUGGAUGGGUUCUUUCAGCACCUCCUGCCAUUAGUAUCAUAGAUUCCAUACUCGAUAUUAAUCUAACCGAUGUCUCGAGACUAAUUAGAGUUAAUUACCAAGUGCAUUAAUAUAGUACAAUGAUUAAUCUGAAAAUUAAUUCCAAAGCGGAUCGACAUUCCGCCCCUCUCUCAAGUGUAGCGGAGACGACGAUAGACCUUGGCGUUUGGGGAUUUAGUCUCACUUUCGUAUCUAAACCAAAUCCCAACAAUAAUCUUACAACUGGAAUUCGACAAUUACAAAAUAAAGCAGUAGCUAUAUGCAAGAGAAAGACAAUAACGAAAUUAAUGAUAGUUCCGCUUAACACAAUCGAAAUUAUGUCGUAUUAACACAUAAUCAAGGUUUCAUCAAUUUCGGACAGACAGCUUAGUUACACAUGGUGAUCAAAUUAAAAACACAGAAAUCAAGAUAAUACAUGAACCUGGAGCUCCAUGCUUCAUGAACGCUCUGCCGUCGUAAAAUUCAGCAAUGUAGGCGGUCCGAACGGAAGUUCCGAAAUGGAUUUCUUCACCUUCGGAGCUCGAAAUUGCAUGCGGUUUGAAGUGGCAUGUUCCUGGGUUGAAGAAGGACGUCUUGGGGCAGAGUAGGAAGGCUUGCGGGUCUGAUAUGGUGUGUGUAUGGUGUGAUUUCGAAGUGGACAUGACUUGCCCUUAUAUAGGCUCGAAAAAUGGCGUAUUAAGGCCUCCGACAUGGGCAUACCAACUCCAUCAUCUGUAUGCAAGCUGUAGCUGUCCCUGGACUGAUGAUGGACGGAUCUACAUGUGCUGGACGUCCUCAACCAUGCCCGGUUAUCCUUCCGGCGAUCGGUUGAGCGGUGGAUUGUAAAACGGGUCGUAACUUCUUCGUUGCAAAUCUGAUUUAGCUCCGGUUUGUAUCGUUGGAUUUUUAAUUCAUCCCUUUAUAAUACGUGACCUGAAAUUUUAUUAAACACACUAGAAGAAAUAUAAAAUUGGACCAUAAAGGUCCAAGGGUUGAAUUUACGGAAUUAAGUGCAAUAUAACUGAUAUCCGUCGAAACUUUUGUUUGCAAUUGAUAUUAUGACUUGAAGUGUAGAAAGUUUAGUGCCAAAUAUUACGGUAUGUUAUGAUGUGAUCAAAAUACCCCACACUUAAACUUUUCUUGUCGUCAAGAAAACUGUAACUUAACCCACACGAAAUACCAAAGAUAGUUACCAUCAUUUAUACAAGGUUUAGGAAAUGUAAUUUUACAAUUUACGAUGCAACAGAGGUUAAAUGCUUGGCCACAUCGGUGAGAUAAAUCUCUAGUUAGAAAUUCACGAGACAGUGCACACCAGAUUAAUCAAGAUUCAAAUGCUAAAAAUAAAAGGGUUAAAUGCAUUUGUUGCAACUAUAAGAUUCAUUUUGCGCUUCCUUACGAAAUUAUGAAAUUUUAUUUCUUUUUUAAAGUUUCAAAAUUUUGAAUAACCCGUAGCCGAGCAAGACUAGUGAGUACUAUACUCAACCUUUUAACACAUUUCAUUCUUCCCACACACACCUCAAUUAAGUCCCGUAUGGGAGGCAUCUAAACUGGCUGCCUAAUUGGCAGGGCAGCUAAUGCAGAGGUGCUAGUCCUCUACCACACGCGUUAAGUUAAUCAUUGAAUUAUUGAGACAAAUUAAAGAAGCAUUUUGAUUUAAACAUUUUUUUAUGGCGAAAGUUGAAUCCAGUUUUGAAUUUGCAGAUUUAAACCAAACAUUUUAAGCAUUUGCAUCAAUUAAUCCGAGAUGUACUAAAUACAAAAAUGAAAGUCUAGUAAAAACAAGUGGUCAUUCCGCAACAACUACCAUGUCACCCAUAAUCGUUACAUUCCCAUUGUCUAUUUUAAUGUGAUCCCUAAAUUGGUAGAUGUGUAACCGCUAGUACUGUUUGUGAGGAGAUUAAAGUAAAGUACGGAUGAAAUGUUGAAAAAAAUUUAAAACACCUCUCGUUACACCAUCACCCAACACUUGAAUUAUACAUUGCCCUCAAUGGACUAUGAAUCUGGGAUAAGAGGGAAACAAGUAUACCGAGAUAUCGAGAAUGACAAUGCCAAAGUAAACUGCUCUAUAAUACCUGUCUGUCGGAUGAUAACGGUAACACAGUGAUAACAAAACAAAACAAAACUCAAAACACAUUUGGCAAAUGCCACAACUAAAAAUCAUACUAAAUCACACCACACAAUGAUGCAGAUCCAAGAUAAAUAUAUUCGAAAAUGUUAAUAUUUUGAAAUACAUCAAAAAGAAGAAGAGAAAAAUACACAUCCUAGAUCGAAAAAUCAAUCAUAACUAUCGGAUCAUAUUCAAAAUUUUGGGCAGAGUCAAGAUGAUUUUAAGGGUCUUGGAUGAUUUUAUUGAAUGAAAUAAGAAACUUGGGUUGUCUCCCGAGGACCACUUUUUUAUCGUCUUUAAGUUAGAAGUUUCCAAGAAAAUUAUUUAAUUAGCCAGGUGAAACACCUCAUGGAUGGUGAGAGAGUCGCUCGCAAGGUAGAGUUUCAACCGAUGACCAAUAACUUUAAACAUACCAUGAUCAGGGCUCGAGAUUUCAACAAUUUCGUAAGGAAGAACUUCAGUCACUGUGAAUGGGCCCAACCAAUGGGAUUUAAUUUUCAUGGAAAGAGGCGAAUCCUAGAAUUAUAUAGGACUAUGUCUCCCGGACGAAAGUGUUUUCCAGGUUUUAACCUUGCGUCAUGAAGACGCUUUGUCUGUUGCUUAUACAAAUUGCCAUUUUAAUAGGCAUGAAGAUGGAAUUCCUCCAGUUCAUGUAUGUGGAACUGAUGGCGAGGUCCAGCGACACUCAUAACAAGGUUUAGAGAUUUAAAGGCCCAUAAUGCCUUAUUCUCUAACUCAACAAGCAGAUGUCAUGCCUUUUCGUAGAAGAGACGGUAAGGGGUAGUGCCGAUAAGAGUUUUAAAAGUGAUAUGCCCAAAGUGCAUCGUCCAACUUUUUUUACCAAUCCUUGCGAGUCCAGGUGACAGUUUUCUCCAAAAUCUACUUAAGUUCUCGGUUCGUUACUUUCGCUUGACCACUAUUAUGUAGGUAGUAACCAGUGGACAGACGAUGAGUGAAACCAAAGCGGCGACACACAUGAUCAAACUGUCCCUGACAGCGGGUUCCUCGAUCGCUGAUGAUAGUGCGAGGUGCUCCAAACCGAGUGAAAAGUAGUUGCACAACUGGCUUAUAAGCUAGCCUCUUCCAUAAGAACUUUGUGGGUAAAAAAAGAGGGAGAGAUGCUUCGAAUAUCAUAGAUUUUCCAAGAAAUGGCCUUAAUAUGCUCUUUUAAAAGGGUGAUGAGACGUCCCUUUUAUUCCGGAAUGAGGGAGGCAAUGAUACUGACUAGAAGCUUCGAGUAAUCCAUCAGAAAAGCAUACUUGAGGUGCUCCGGUAGUGCUUUCAUCUUCAAUAUUGGAGGCUCCUCAUAUGAGGGUUUGACGGGCUCAAUCCUUGAGAGCUUGACAGGAGGUUCAGGAGCAGAGUCUUAGCAAUCUGCUCAAGUUGUUGUACCUCAUCAGAAGCAUCCCAAACACCAAAAUAAAAGGCACAACUCGAGAGGGUCUUAGCAAAUGCCCUCAGAUAAGAAGAAUACUGAUCCAACCUCAAUGGAGUCAGCAGGAUAGUUUCAGUCAUCCUGGACAUGGGCAUAUUUCAUCCUGUCAGCAUGGCGAAAUGUGGCCUUUCCUUGACCUACUUGAAGAGUAAGCUCGCCUUCAUGGACAUCAAUGAUGGUGCGAGCCGUAUUUAAGAAUGGGUGGCCAAGAAUGAGGGAGGCAUCUGAUUCAUUGGUGUCAAUGAUAACAAAGUCCACCGAAAAGACAUAAGGUCCCAUCUGCAUAAGUACAUCUCUCAGGAUUCCACGACAAAUUCGAGUGGACUUGUUAGCCAACAGGAUGGUCAAUUGAGUCGGUGUUGGUUCUCCUAAAUCGAGCUGUUGGGAUAUCUUGCAUGGCAUUAGAUUGAUACUUACCCCAGAGUCAGCCAAAGUCUUAUCCAUGCAGGUGUUGGUGAUAUAGUAACAUAAGGUGAAAGAAUCGUGAUCCUUAUGUUUCUUAGGUAGCUGGUUCAGAAUGGCAGCAUAACAUUCAACAUCAAGAGUAACAGACUGAAUCUCAUCCAAUUUUCUCUUAUUGGUCAGAAUCUCCUUUAGAAAUUUCGAGUACUAGGGCAUUUUGGUAAUUUCCUCAAUAAACAGGAUAAUGCCAUUUGCCGUAAUCAUAAGUUCAAUGAACCUUUUGUAACUGGCACCCAUCAUAUCACUCCUUAGACGAGAAGGAUAAGGAGGUUUUGGUUUGUAGGGUGGUAACUCUGGCUUAGGGGGAGAUGGUUACAGUAGCCUUUGGAUAGGUGGCCGAGGUGGCUUUCUCAUCCUUCUUCUCGACGCUAAAGUCAAUGAUCAGCGUUGGAGGAAUGAUGACAGGUGUGGACUAUGGAAUGGGAGGAUCCUUACUGGUGGUUCCACUCUUGAGGGUGACACCUUCACAAGAUUCCGAAGUGUCAAAUCCUUCAUUAGUAACAAAGAUUGCUUUUGAUUCUUCUUGCAUAGAAUUGUUUUCUGUGUUGCUAGGGAGAGAGCCUUGUGGUCUCUCACUAAGAAUUUUGGAAAGAUUUUUCAAUUUCAAUUCAAUGUUAUGGAAAGUGGUUUGUUGCCCACGGAUAAUCUUUUCCAACCUCUCGAGUCUGGAAACUUCAUCAGACUUGGAUGUAGAAGAGGCUUGAAUAGGCGGUUAUUCAGGCUUUUGCCCAAAACCAGGAGGUCAUUGGUUAUUAGUAUAGUUCCUCGAUUGAUAGCCUUGAUUAAGACGAGAGGCAGAGUUUCCUUGGUUGAAGGUUGAUCUGUAAUAGGCAUGUUCAUCUAAUUUGUGAAUGUUUUGCUGUUGUGACGGUCCUGAGCAUUGGGUAUCAUGGUUGGUUUGGUAAGAGUUUUGGAAAGACUUGGAUUUAACUUGAUUUCAAAAGUUUGAGUUUUAAUUUUGACCAAAAAUUUAUCAAUCUUGUGGGUAACCACCACCCAAAAAGUCAACUUCUUCUGUCUGGUUAAAAACGGUAUCCCCAGAGUAACAGUCAGUAGAAUCACAUCCUUGAUCCCCUCAAGCAACAUAGACAAAGAUUAUUGCCGUCGAAUUCUAUAGGGUCCUGACGUUCAGCUUGCUCACUUUUUGAGAAAGCGCAUGCAGCUGAGAGAGAACGGGAGAAAUAACCGUCCCAAGGGUUUCAUGACGAAUCACAAAGGAUGAAGUGGUAGGCGGGGUGCUAUGAUGCUUCCCAUGUUGCCUAGUCAAAGUAUGACUACACAUAUCACAUCCAGCAGCCAGGUUGAUCAUUUGUGUGCUUUCCCGAUUGAGCCUUCAAUUGAAAAUAUCGGCUUGGUUUCGGUCAUCGAAGCUGUGAUGAGCGCAAGAGCGGAGGAGGGCUUGGAAUCGAUUGCAUGCUUCAUAUAAUUGUUCAUUAUCUCAUUGCAUGCAAUGGAUAAUUCUCUCUUUUAUCUCACCGCGCUUCUAUGGAGGAAAAAAUACCUUGAGAAAGGCUUUAGCGGGACCGUCCCACAUGGUAAAACUCCCUACUGGUUGAGAAACAAGCCAGAUUUUUGCAGCUCCCUUGAGAGAGAAAGGGAAACGCUAGAGGCGAAUGGCAUCAUGGUGCACCUGUUGGAGUUGUAAGGUGUCGCAUAUUUUGAGUAAGUAUUUGAUAUGUUGGGUGGAGUUAUCGUCCUCUUUCCCCAAGAAUUGGACUGUUUGUUGGACCAUGUAGAUCAUAGCGGGUCGCAAUUAAAAAUUGUUGUCUUCGACGUGGGGUCGGGCGAUGGAGGACCCCAGGUUCUAGAGACUUGGUUUGGCAUAAUCGCCAAGUGUCUUCUCUUCAGCCAUGGUGAAGGAUCCUUUGGGGGAAAUGCUUACGUGAUCUUCGCCAGAGUACUCAUCCUUGGAAUCCGUUCUACCGAGAGCCGGAGGUGCAAUUGUAAUUCCUUCAAGGACAUGUUUAGAAAAUUACCAAGUAAUCCGUCGAGUCAUUCAUUUGACCGAAUAGGAGUUUGGAAGAUGGGAGGAGAGAGGGAAGCAGAAUGAAUGAAUUCGUUGAGUUUUAGGUUUUGGAGGUUUGAAGAAGAAGUUUCGAGAGAGUGUUAAAGAAGGUGAGUGGGAAGAUUAUGGAGUACUUUACUUAGAAACGCCGCCUUGUUGCCAAAACCAAAACUUUCAUUUCAGUUCCAAGGAAAGUAGGGGAGUCACUCAGACUACUUAAAUCCCUUUAAACUUUAGGUAGCAUCUCUUUACGAAAGCCAAAAUAAUCCUCUCAUCUUUUUUAAUUCUCCUUUCUUAUGAUUUUAAAUUUUUUCUAUUUUUCUAUUUUUAGUGUUUAAAUUCAUAUAAAUGAUUGGUAGCAGAUUUUUUUAUUUUUUAAUUAUUUAUUUGGAUUUUUUUGUGGAAUAGGAAAGAUUCGGAGAUGAGUGGAAGAUAUGGAAAAGAUUGAGAGUUCAGUUGAGCAAGAUAAAAUAUUGAAUGGCUGAAAUGUAGAGAGAGAAAAGUUGAGUGACCAAGAGGGGAGCAUGGGAAAUAGUAUCUAGAAAAUAAAUAUAAAAUAAUUUAAGAAAAAGUAUUAUUAUUAAAAGUGAAAAUUUAGUAACUGUUUCGUACAAAAGGAACGAGGUCCACGACAACGACGCCAAAAUUUGAUCACCCCCGUAGGCAAGUUUAAAGAUAAACUCGGAAAAACCGAGGUCGUAUUCACGCGGAUUCAUUCCGAGUAUUACUCCUGAAAGUGCGAAGAUGAAAGUCUAAUCGUUGGAAUAGCGGGUAUGAAAGCACACAAAUCGCAAUCGAGUAUAAUGGAUGAGUGAAACCUGUCCGGAAAUGAAUUCACCAAGAAUCAGAGCAAGGAUGGUCAUUGUAACCCUUCUUCCUUGUUGCAGUUUCAUCAUGAUAGGCUACACCUUUUGUUGUUAGAUUAGGGAUGAUGUGGAUGCAAGGAGAAUCCCCUCAUAAUGAGGGAUUGGACAAGAUUUGGAUGAUUUGUGGGCUUGCUUUGGAUGAAUGUAGGGAGAUUGAUGCAUGUACACACUUGAUUAAACUAGGAGUGUAUCAUUGAAUGAGAAAUUGGUAGUAUACGAGGACCUUCCAUACCCAAUUCAUCCAUCUUUUUUUGUAAAUUGCAUUGACGCAUUUAAUCAAACAUUUGGCGUGCAUUUUGGUUCUUUCUUAGUGGACCAAACUAGGUUUAGAUAGAGUCAUUGGGUGUUGAUGUGACCACAUUAGCAUCCUUCAUAGGUGUUUGGGGUGCCUUAUUUCCUUGUGCAUCAUCAUAUUAUUCCGAUUGAACAUCAUUGAAUGCACUUUUGGCUUAUAAGUUGUUUGUGACCACAACAAGUUAUAAGGUCCAUUGGUACUGUUAGAUAUGACCAUGCAUAUAGACUUUAACGAAUAGGAAUGCAUGGAAGCUUGUAUAGUUUGGUACCUAACAUUACACUUUGGUCAUAAAAUACCCAUCACAUAAUCAUAAAAUAUUCAUAACAUUUGGUUUAUGUUUUUCUCGCAACUCUUUUUGUUGGAUUUAAUAAUCACCACCAGGAUGCCGUUUUUAGAGUCUGUUUAAUGUAUGAUGAUAGAAUUAAAUCAUUUGAUUGGUUAUUCCGUACAUUUUUACAGUGCCUGUGAGGGAAGGCACCCAAACCAUUUUCUCAAAUCAGGACCCGACCAUGGAUGCGGCAUUGAAGAGUGCCAUGCCAAAUACAUACCACGCGACGGCGGUGGGGUAUGAUAGGAAUCCUCUGUCGACACACCCUAACUGUGAUGCAUGUCAUCGGGAGGUUUGAAAGCGAGAAGUUCAACACACUUCCCGCAUAUACAUGUUGAGGAGAUGGACUAGAGGAGCCAAAAUUCGGUUUCAUGACAUAGUUAUUACGCGGCUCCUCUCUCAGGAUGGUGAGGAUGGUGAAAGACUUGCUGAAGUUUGUUUCUAUGAUUAGGGUUGUUUAUAGGGUCGAUCAGUUUCAUAAUAUGUUGGAUGUUGUGGUAGAUGGGUUGGCCAUUCAGGUAUGCAGUAAUCAAAGUAUACUUAUUUGUUAUAUUCACCGUACAUGACUUGUAUAUGGUCAUAAUAUACCUAUUAUGAUAGUGGUAUUUCUGUAGGUUGAACAAGCAUUGACCUUGUAUGAUGGACAACAGCCAAGGGAAACUGUGGUGGCAGAUAGAGAUACCACCAGCGUUGCAGUCGCUACGUGUUGUAGUAGUGUGAUCAGGAGAGAGAUUGCAACGAAGUACACCCCGCAGAGCAGACCAAGUAAGAACAACCAGCGUGGGAAACAUAUCACAGAUACGGUCGCAUGAGGCAGUGUAACAAGUUUAGGAAGAUUCGUGCAAAGGAAGUUCAAUCCGAACAAGCAGUCGCAAUGGACGUGGAAAUGGAGGACUUACUCAAUAAUGAUGUUAUACAUCAGUGCAUCGCAUUUUUGCAGGCACAGGAGAGCACCACUGCUACUGGCAACCCCCCUCGAUUGAGAGUGGCCCUUGAUAGGGUAAUCGUUAAUUAUUUAAUGGUCAUUAUGGAGAAAAGCCUACCUGUAACGCUAGCAGAACUGUAGCAUUAUAUAUGUACACUAGUCACGUAGUUAUGUAAGAACAUUGCCAUAUUAUGGGUAGAUCAGUGACAUAUUUUUGGUAAAACAGUACCAUAUUUUGGUAGCACAGUCUUGUAGUGUUGGAAGAAUAGUGGCAUAUUUUGGGAUGUAGAAGAAGACACAUUGUUCGGAAUUAUAAUAUUAUAUGUGGUGCUAGUAUUGACAUAUUCUGCUACAAGGAUUACACCAUGUGGUAGGUCCACUUCAAGGAAUACAACAAGGAUACUACUGUUACCCUAAACAAUAGGCAUAACAUCAAUGUACAAUAGCCAUAACAACGUUACACAUACUUUCUUAGGUUCAAACUGCCAACCAUUGUUCUUCAAAUGGAAAAUGUGACCUUCAUCGCCAUGGCACUCAAAUGGAAGGCCGUCUGGAUGCUCUGAUAUGAUAGUGCGAAUGACGUUCCCUGCUUCCUUGAAAUUGACUUUAGCCUUCCAAAAGGUAUCCUUCCACAUUUCAAUCCGACUGACCAAGUCAACGUGGCUGCUCCUUUUGUCUCCAGAGUGAAUGAUACCUUGGUCCACGAGGCUCCCCUAUCAAUGAUUUCCAUGCAUAAUACAAACACCCACUACUGUACUAGUAUCAACCAGAACUGAAAGUAUACAUAUCAUUUUUCAUAUUCAUGCAACCUUACUUUCCAAUCGUGACAUUCUAGUAAGUCUCUUGUAAAGCUCCCCAUACACAUAAACUAUGCUCUUAAAUAGGGCAUAAUUCAGAAACCAUUUAUAACGAAACCGUAAGAGUAACAUGGUACUAGCAUACCAUACACAUAUCCAUAACAUAACAUAGAUAUCUAACUAGGAGGGUUGGUCGAAGUUCCAGCUUCUAUGAGGAGGUCCACUACCCCUUCAAUUAAAAUAUGGGGAUGAAGUCGACUCCAUUGUGAGAGGACCAGGCGACAGAAGUACUUGAGCAUGUCCUUAAUCAUAACGUUCUCCUCAUCCCACCACUUCGUUUGGUCCGUUGUAAAACAACCAAUGUGUUGCCCCAUAAAACGAAGUGCCAUACAGGCCACACCUGUGAAUGUCAGGCUUUUGUGGCGCAGACACCACCCUCAACUUGAAGUCCUUGAUAUCCACGUGAGUGUUAAGAAGAACAAAUGACCUCGCAUAUUGCAUUAUCUGUGUUCUUGUCGGCUUGUUGUAUGGCUUGGUCUCAAAGUCCUUCUUAUAGAUAAGGCUAUUGAGAAUAACUCUUUCCUUUUUCUCCAUGUCCAACCCAAAGACAUAGAAGUGCUUGAAACUAUUUCCCCUUAUGUUGGGAAGAAGACCGAACACACAAAUAUAAUAUAGUAAUCACAUCAGAUUGUAUAUCAACUGCAUACCACAAAUACAAUACAUACAUAUUUCACGGAACUCAAGCCCUGGAGGUACUUCUUAUUUAAGAAAUCCUUGCAAGUUGGUGGGAAUUUAGAUUGAGUUAGUGAAAACUCAAUCUCAUUUUCAACUUUUGUCCUAGCAGGAGUUUGAAGCCAUAACACAGUCUAACUACACACAUAAAAAAUCACACUUACUAACAAGGAAUAGUCAGAUUAUACUCAUAACACAGUUAAAUUGGCAACAUAACAGAGGCAAAUUGUAUUCAUAACACACACAUAACAUAGAAAGACAGUUAAGUAACUUUGACGAUUCAAACAAUACUUGUAGUAAUUGAAAUAAGCCCAUAUAGUCUUUUUAUUGUGUUGUUGUUAGCCAGUAAAUUGUCAUUAUUGAACUGGUUGCAGAAUGCAUCAAUCAGUUUUGAUGUGCACCUGGUUUGAAUAAUAGACGGUCUCCAACUCAAGCUUCAUGACUUCCAUGCCUUUUUUUCCGGAAAGUCGCAUAUAAUGCAGCUGUUGAUAGGAAACAAUACUGCACUAGUUGUAGCCAUAACACAAAUGUAACACAAACGUAACAAAACGUAACACAAAUGUAACACAAAAAUAAAGGAUAUAUAACAUAGUGAGAAAUGAUAUGUACUCCCUUUCAACACUAGAUAUGGCAUAAGUUACUAUCUUGCUCUCAACUAGUGUUAAUUCAUGUUGAAGUCUAUUUGUGAGAACGAUCUUCAUGCUAGUCUUUUGUCGGUAAUAUGCAAUUGGAAUUGGAUUCUCUGAAUCACCUACCAAGUCCACUACAACUUGUCUCCACCCGGAGUUGCCUUUGUCGAUCCACCCACUAACUCCAAGAUGGCUUCUUUUGCGGUCAUUCUGUUGGUCCACUUCAACUUCCUUCUAUUUUCCUUGGCAACCUGCUCCUCUUCCUUUUCCUUUUCGGCUUCAUUAUCUUCAACCUUCUCUUCUUUCUUUUCUUCAUCCCUAUCAUCUGACUUCUCAUCUUACUUUUCGUCUGCAUUUGCAUCCUCCUCACAGUCACUACCAUCACAAUUUUCACCCUUGUUGUCAUCAUCAUCAUCAUCAUCAUAACCAUCGUCAUCUUCCUCCUCAUCUUCACCAUUGUCUUUAUCAUCAUCAUCACCAUCGUUAUUGUCCAUGAAAUCACCGUAGCUCUCGUCUUCAAACUCAUUACGAAACUCCACGUCAACAACUCCCUUGCCCUUCCCUAGUAAUAGGUUCUGGACAGACGCACUCCUAUCCAGUCACAACUAUAAUUAGCAAGGCAGUUGUCCUGCAUUGCACCUCGAUCGUCGCAACCUCUGCUAACAAUGUUUGCUGCAAUCAUGGUAUGAAGAUGCCUUCAGAUUAACCCAUAUACGAGAUAUAUAACACUUAGGUAAUUCAAAUAUACCACCAUCAGAACAGUACAAUAGUCGUGAAAAGCAGUUCACUGGCACAUAACAGAACAACAACAUAUCUUACGUUUAACGUCCAUAGAACAUUGUAAUAACACCCAUGGAUCAGUUACCUGUUAUGAAGAUGCAAGUUGUACUAUCGCCGUCUACUUGUCCAUUCUAGGGUUCGUUAAUCAUGUUCCCCUAUGCUGAUGCACAUUCACCCCAAAGGUAAGGAAAUCUAGCUCGAGACUUUGUCGAAAAUGUCUUGAGCCUAAGUGGGAGUAAUAGGUUUCAAGCCAGCUACAAGAGACGCCCUCUCACUCAACAUGAAUGACCAGCUGCCGUUAGGAGUACUUAUCCUUCUCAUCAUUUUGAUGACAACAUCGCAUCUUAGUAGGAACAAGUGGGAUGCUCUUUCGGAUCGAUACCAGAAAGAUCAACCAUGUCCAGAAAAUGCAGCUGACACAAACAACCGAGGAUAUCAAGAUUAGACAAUCAACCAACAGUAGUCUGCAUCAACAUAAGAACACUGUACAACUAUUAUAACACAACGAUAGCAUAAAUAUAAUAGCAAUAUAACUUAACAGUAACACUUACCACCAUGAAGUUCAUGUCCCUGCUGGGAUAGGACGCCUUCUGAUUCUUAUAGUAGUCCUCCAGACCUCUUAGCAGAUGAUUUGAGACGUCAGCCGCCCAAUUAGGAUUAGCAAUCUCAAAGUUGUGAAGGUGAAGAUACUUGGAAAACUUCAUUAUAACCCACCGGGUAUUUGUUGGAACAAGCAACGACUCAAGGGCAAGCAACAUGUACAACUUUGUAUAAGCCGUGGGAUCUUUACAAUUCUUCAUUGCAGCUUGGAGUUGAACUAUGUUGAUGUGAUUGUACUUAUUGCUCUUUGUACCGGUCACCCUUUCAAACUGCUUCAAUACCCUUAGCCCGAAAUGUUGGACAUCCACGUCGGCUAGACUUGUAUACAAGGGCAGACCAUAUACAUGGUGCACGACCUCUGACGUUACGCCCAACAGCUGACCAUCCGGGAACUUGAAAAGACCAAGUUCAGGAACAAAGGAUUGGAGGAGGAAUUGAGGAACCUCCUUAUUAAUCAUCUCUAGUUGUAGAUACAACAACCCAUAGAAGCCAGCGUCAUUGAGACAUAGACAGAUGUUAGUACGAUGCGGGUGGUCGUUUUCAAGUAGAUCAUUGGCAGCCACCAACUGUCCAAUUUUGCAACAGAAUGGCUUGCCAUUUCCCUUCUUUUUCUUCAAGCCAAUCUCCCCUAGGGGGCCCUUCUUUACAAUUGGUUGCUUUGUGGCAACUGCCUUUUCGUUAGCACAACCCUUCUUUGUCGGAUUAGUUUUGGCCACCAGACAAUCAAAUAACAUACUCAUAUUCAUAAUGUACCAAUGUCAUUAUGAUUCUCAUAACAACAAGACCAAACAAAGAUCGACAAUCAUACACAGGUACGUGAUCAUAUCAUAGUAAUAUCAUAUACGUAACAUAGGCAUUACGUAAUACUAAGAAAUACAAAUAGAUACACAAUCAUAUCAUAGACAUAAGAUAGGAAUAACAUAGGCAUCUAAUAUGCAUAACAACCAUAAACAGAAAGAUAAAUUGUAUUACACACAUAACAUAGGAACUUCAUACUAGUAAGUAGCAUAAACAAAAUAACAAUCAUAUCAUAGACAUAACGUAUGCACUUCAAAAUUGUAACAAACAUAGGCGGUCCUCAAAUCUCCCUUUUCUUGGGGGUUAACAGACACUAAUGGUGUUUUGUAGUUAGAGUCAGACUCCAAGCUCUAAAAGGAGGACGAUUCUUUCCGUUUCUGUUUCCACUUUUUGUUGCAUGAACCUUUCUGUACCCCACGUUGAGAUUACUGUAGCUCUGUGAGCCAUUUUAAAGAUUGAUGAGGGGAGAUGAGAACUCCUUUGUUAGUCUUCUCUAUAGGAAACUACGAGAAAGGAGGAAAACUUAUUAGAGCCUUAUAAAAUACCCUAAAAACCAAUCAUAUAUAUACGAAGCCUUAAGGAAGGUACAACAUAAAAAAAAAGUUAUCAGGUUUGGUGGUUCUAACCGUCAAUGUAUAGGUGGAUGAGGAUGAAUGUAACUGCUUUGGUGGAUGAGGACGAAGGUAACUACAACUUCACCAAGAGAGAGGCCUACAAACCUGAAGCCACCUUCAAAACUUCCACCCAGUACUUUGGAUCUACUGGCGGAUGAAUUUGAUUCCUCCAUGCAACGGCUUCACCGUCGCCGGUGAGAGGAGAGAGAUUAACAGGAAGAGGGAGACACUGAUGUUGAAGAAAGAGAUGGAGAGAAUGAAGAAAGAGAUGGAAAAGAGGGAGAGAAUGAAGAAAGUGAUGUGAAAGAGGGGUGACAGAAUAGUGAUAUGACCGGUCUGACACAAGGAUUGAAAAAAAUCGCAAAACAUUUUCAAUUUCCCAUUCUCGAUAAUGAAAUUCGAAUCUACGGAUGAAAAAAAGAAUUGAAUAUUAAAUAUAAAUAAAUAAAUUCUCGUUCCCAACCCCUAGAAGAAAGAUAGCCGUCUGAUCGAAGUCAACGAGGAGACGGAUUCCCAGUCGUCAGAUCAAGCUGUCUAGCCGUACAACUUGACUUUCCAUGCCAAUCAUUAACAUUUUUGCCCAACCGAGGCACCCUGUUUGUCUCCAGUUUGAUGAGUUCUUGCCGGUGAACCAAUCAACAAUGAAGAAGCUCCGAUGGAGGGCCCAUAAACUCACUAACAACUAGGUAAGGAUCAUGAAUGUUUUCAUAAGCUUAAUUUAAUAUUUUCUUAAGCUUAACCAGAUCUAUACAACCCUCCAUUGCCAGAUUCAAGUUUCGCCAGAGCCGCCGCCGUCUCUAUUUCUCAAUUUAAUCUCCUUUAUUUUGAAACCAGGUGAGGAGAGUUUCCCCUAAGUUAAUUUGGGGCUUCACAAUGGUUUGAAGUGGGAUUGAUCUCACCUGAGUUGACCUCCAGAACCCGAAUUUUGGAAUAUGGGUUUCGGCUCAUCGGGGAAGACGACUGGAAAACAUGUCAUGACGGUGCCUGAAGUUCCAGUGAUUUCAAUUCAGUCAUUGGACUUCUUGAGGCCAGAUCCGGUCACCUAAAUUUCCUAGAUGGCAAGCGUAAAACAAUACUUUAAAAUGUUAACAAAUUGCUUAAUAACGAGACCUAUAUAUCUGUUGUGACUCUAAACUUUAGGAUUAUGACAUUUGACCCAAAUACAUAAAAGAUAUUUAAGUGUUGAGGGUUAACCCUAAUUGAUCUUGAUAUGCUAUUCAAGGACAUUAAGGAUAAAUACAGGAUUUCUGAACUCGUAAAAGGAUUAAGGAAAAUGGAUUCUUUCGUUAUAAGGGAUCAUUAGUAAAAAGUAAUCAUGAUUUUGGAAAAGCCUAGUUUUUCCUUAUCACUUUAACAAUGGAGAUAAACUACAGAUACUUUGAGUCAUCACUCAGAUCUUUUUAUUUCAAAUCAACUCUGAGCCUAAUACCUAAAUUCCCGUAAUCAGGUUCUCAGAGUCGAAACCACUUUCAAGCGUGGAUCUCGACCUUUUUUUUGGGACCCUCACCACUUCACUUUUCUAGGCAAGUGGUUUAAGGGGGUAAAUUCUUACGUUGCUGUGUUUAGGAAUGAACCUAGAAUUAAAUGAUUACUUGAUCUAUUUGUUACUAUGUGUUUUGUAGUGAGUUAUGAUUGGUCCUAUACUCAUGUUGAUGUUAUGUAUCAUGCUUGCGUGUUACUUCCUGAUUAGUUAUGUUACUAGUAAAUCCUCAUCGUUGCUAAAUUCAUGUUGAUGCCAUGUGUCAUGUUUCCAUGUUUUUUCCUUGAUAUGUUAUGUUUACUUUUAAAUUCUUAUCCUUACCAUAUUCAUGUUGUUACCAUGUGAUAUGUCUUGGUUAUUAUCAUGUUAUGUUAUAAAUCACCUAAACAACAAGUAAGCCUAUGAUAGGCAAUAUAAUAACACGUAUCUCGCUAACUAGACCGCCACCCUCUUAUGUUACCUUCAUGUUUCACGUUUGGGCGGAUGGUAGGAAUCAUGUUUAUGGUUCGAUGAAUACGUACUCCCGGACUCUCACGUUUACAUUUUGGUGGUUUGCUAGUUAAUCAGGAGGCCCCUAGAUGUCAUGUCAAGUAAGCAAGCCAAGUAAAUAAUGUCAAGUAAACCAUGUUAAGUAAAUCAUGAUAAGUGAAUCAUGUCAAGUCUAAUCAUAUGUAAUCCCUAAUAACAUUAUUGUUUGGAUUGCUAACCUAAUGUGAAUGUGUACUCAAGAACUAAAAGCUUAUGUAAAACACUAAUAGUUAAGCACGCAAGACUGACCCCAAACCACUCACCAGGUCAUACUAGAGAUACCGGCAUAGAGACUACCUAAAAGAACUUUAGUGGAUGUUGAGGAUGUCACAUGAGUUAGAGUGAGUGAUUUUGGAGGAUGGACUACCAUGUUUACUCUCUUUCGAGUUUCUAGUACUUGAGACUUGGGUUUUGUUUUUUAUUUUUUCAUACUUGAUUUCAGAUGUUCGGGUUGCUCACUUGUAAGAGCCGAUUUACUUUGGAUUUAUGUGUAGUUUUCAAAAAAGUCUAUACCUUUCUCUUUUGACUAUCUUGAGUCUUGUGAUCUCUCCAAGGAAAUUUGGUAUUUAAAUAAAUGAAAAGGAUUUGUGAAAAUUUGGGUCGUGUCACAUACCACUUCCCCUUGCAACUCCUUUGAUGCCAAUAAACCUAAAAUACUCACAAAAUCACCCAAAAACCAACAUUAAAUGUCCCCAAACGGGCCAAGUGGAUAAAAACACAUAUUUGAGUUAAAGUUCCUAAGAACUACCCAGAAUAGCAUGAUAUGCACGAAAUUUGGCUUAAAAUACGAUAGAUGAAUGCAAUAAAUCAAACACUACAACUAACCCCACACUUAAGCUUUGCUUGUCCUCAAGCAAAAAACUGAUAAAAGCUAUGAUAAACAUCCACAAUUGAAUGACGUUACUAGCAAGGCAAAGCAAACCCAUAUUCCACAAAGUACCCCUAUAUUUCAACACAUGCAAGUAAACCCUUAAAAUCAACCAAUCUAGGAAGUAAGGGUCUCAUCAAAAGUUGUCCAACUUUUCAUACAUCAUCCGCCAUGGUAUACCACCCAUCUAGACUUUCUCUCAAAUGGCACAAUUUAAAAAUGAAGUCAAGAUCAUCUCACUCAAAGUGUUUAGGGAUAGUGUUUGUGAGCUCAUUCCUCAACUCUGACGCAAACUUCAACACUCGCACAUCAACCUACUUUUUAAUCAUUACAUCAUAGAACUUCAAACACUAUUCUAGAGGUCUUUUAUUAAGGAUUGUAAUCUGAAAAAAAGAAUAAGAGGAGAAAUGAAUUUGGUGGUAGGUGUACAUAUUGGCCGACGAUUCAGUCCACUCUAAACAUGGAGCUAAAGCUACUUAAAACAAACAACCACGAUGCAAGGAUUCAAUUUCCAUCAAGAGCUUAAUACUAGCUCCUCUAUCCCUUAAAUAAGCUACUACUCCUUCGAGCUUUUCCAUCAAGAGCUUUAUACUAGCUCCCCUAUCUCUGAAAUAAGCUACUACUACUUCAAGCUUUUCCAUCAACACUUGGCCUCAUGUGCAACAAAAUCCAGAAACUGGGUGAGGAACACGAUUUAGACAACAAAUGUAGCAUCCUCUGAUAAUGCAGAUAAUAUUUCCUUAAGACCUCAUGUUAAGGCAUUAGAAAAGAAGCUAAAUGAUUUUACUUUGAAAGUUUCUAACCCCCUGCUACUUAUGUUUAUACUUGUGCUUGGGGUGAUGUUCCUUACAGCCAGGUAGAAUGUGAUAUUUUCCUCACCAACAAAUUCAUGAUGAUGGAAGAAGUGGAUUUUGUGCGACAGGGCUACCCCUUCAAUCAGCAGGGAUAUCAGGAAUUCAGAGCAAAGAACGCCGAAGGCCGACGAUUCAACUUCACAUACCCUGGAAGGCGUUGUGACUUCUACAAGUGUAGGAUGGAGGAUUACAAUGUCAAAGACAACAUCACUCCCCAAAGACAAAACUCACACCAUUAAGGAAACUCGAGCAACAACUACCAAGGUCCACCAGGAUUUCCAAUCAAGCCAACUAAGCAGCAACAACAACAUAAUUCGGACCCUGCUGGAGGAAUAAAUGAAGACAUCAUCCAGAUGAUGAAAACCAUGCAUGUCUUAAUUAUAGCUCAAAAGCCUGCCAACACAAACUUUAUCCUCACUCCAGAGGAAAUCAAGAAGCAUGUUCGAUUCUAUAUCCAUUGGUAGUCAAGAAGAAGGGGCUUUGAAAGGCAUUUUAGAGAUUUAUAGAGAUCAUCAAGAAGAAGGAGGUUACAUUAACCUUUCUGGAAGCUUUCAUAAAGAUUCUAGCAUAUGCAAAGUUCUUGGUGAUGCUAAACAAGAAGAUAAAUCUUAGUGAUGCCACAGAGGUCUCACUCUAUGAAGAAGGAGCAAUAAUCCAAGUUGGAUCGACAAAGCAAAAAGACCUAGGGAGCUUUACUUUACCAUGCAUGAUUAAGAAUGUUAAAGUCUAGGGAGCUUUAUUUUACCAUGCAUGAUUAAGAAUGUUAAAGUUAGUUAGAGUCUUGCUGAGCUAGGUGCUAGUAUAAAUGUUAUGCCCCAAAGCUUAUAUGAGAAACUAGAUAUAUGUGAACUUAGACAAACUAAGAUAGUUCUUCAACUUGCUGAUAGGUCUUUGGUAAAACCCAGGGUAGUCGUAGAUGAUAUUUCAAUUUGUGUAGGACCUUUUGAAUUUUCUGCUAAUUUUGUUGUUCUAGAUACCCAUGAGAAUGACAGUCAUUGGCUUAGUCCUACGAAGGUUGUACCUAAGAAGGUGGGUUUCAGGACCAUUUUUGUUUGAUGAUAACUAUAUACAUGCAUUUAAUUUUCUAAAAAUGAAGUUGACCACUGCGUCGAGAUUAGUCUCCCCGGAUUGGGAGGCACCUUUGUAACUAAUUUGUGAUGCUAGUGAUUUUGCAGUGGGUGUAGUGCUAGGACAGUGGAGAGAGAAGAGAUUACAUCCCAUAUACAUCAUGAGCAAGAUGCUUAAUGAUGCACGGAAAAACUACACAACUACUAAGAAUGAGCUCUUGUCGAUUGUCUUUGCAUUCAAGAUGUUCAGGUCCUAUUUAAUGUUUAUCCCAGACUAUGGUUUUCACUGACCAUUCUGCUCUUAACUAUCUUCUAGCUAAACAAGAUGCGAAGCCGAUAUUUAUUCGUUGGGUGUUGCUCCUUCAAGAAUUUGACAACACUAUUAAGGACAAUGCGGGGUUAGAGAACAUUGCAGCUGCCCACCUAUCGCGCGUUGAACGGCCUCCUCCUGUUCAAUUAGCUCAAGGAGAGAUAAAUUAGCUCUUCCCGGAUGAUCCACUACUCCUCUUGGUAGAAGCAGAGAAAGUCUUGGAUCAUCAUCCUCAACAAACGCCCAUGGUUUUCGUACAUAGCCAACUUCCUCGCUUUCGCGGCAUUUCUAGAAGAUUAAAAAAUCAUCAGCAGCAAAGGAAACAGGUCUCCGAAGCCAAGCACUACAUCUGGGAUGAUCCUUACCUCUACCAUUCGGGCUCAGACGGAGUAAUCAAACGAUGUGUUAUGUUGCAUGAAUCACUCCACAUCAUGCUCCCUUGCCACACUAGACCUGUUGGGGGACAUCAUAGUGGAAAUCGCACAGCUCACAAGAUUUUAGAUGCGGGUUCCUACUGGAGGACGAUCUCGAAGGAUUGUGGCAGAUACGUGAAGAAAUGUGAUGCCUGUCAACAUACAUGUAACAUUUCAAAUAAGAAUGAAAUUCCUAUUACCAUCUCCAUGCUUGUAGAAGUUUCUAUUGUGCGGGGUAUUAGUUUUAUGGCCAUUUCCCAUAGUCCCAUGGUAACAAGUAUAUCCUUGUUAUUUUGGAUCAUGUGUCAAAGUGGGCAGAGGCAUAAGUGCUGCCUACUAACGAUGCUUGGAUAGUGGGAAAGUGUAUCACACGGCUUUUCAUGCAUUUUGGUGCCCCUCAUGUUAUUGUUAGUGGUAGGGGCACUCACUUCUAGAGUCAAUUCGAUCUUGUGUUCCAAAAAUUUGGUGUAACUCAUCGAUUAACCACUGCUUAUCAUUCACAUACAAGCGGUCAAGCGGAGGUGACGAAUCGUGAGCUGAAGCGGAAUCUUGAUUGACAGUCGAUCAGUCUCACAAGGACUGGUCAAUUCGGCUCGAUGAAGCUCUAUGGGCUUAUCGAACUGCCUUCAAGACUCCUAUCAGUACUUUGUUGUAUUAACUAGUUUAUGGCAAGCCUUGUCAUUACCGAUCGAGCUUGAGCAUAAGGCAUGGUGGGCCAUGAAGCUAUUAAACAUGGAUGAUAGUUUGUAGCUUCAAAACACAAAGAUCAGCUCCUUGAGCUAGAGGAGUACAAGUUUCAUGCUUAUGAGAGCUCAUGGCUAUACAAGAAGAGGAUGAAACGCAUCCAUGAUGCCAAGCUUCAAGGUGUCAAGGACUUUGAGAAGGGAGAUAAAGUGUUUCUUGACAACUCCCGCCUCCGACUGUUUUUGGGAAAAUUACAAUCAAGAUGGUCGGGACUAUAUGAAGUCACACAAUCAUUUCCCUACGAUACCGGGAAGAUCACACAUUCGUGCCAAGGAACAUUCAAGGUCGACAGUCACCAUCACAAGUGAUAUCACAGUUCCAAGCCUACUAAUUGAGUCAAAGUUCAUUACUUCACUGAUGGUAAAUAAAAGGCGAGGUAUCGUCUAGCUCAAAGAGGUUAAAAAAGAGCGGUUCAUGGGAGGCAGCUCAUGCUUGGAGUCUAUAUUUUGCAUUUUAUUUUGAGUCAAAUUGCAUGUUUAGGUGUUAGAUCGAGUCUAGAACAUGAUACUUGAGUCCCAUUCCUAUCCCAAGUCAUCGAUGAGAAGCGUUUUGAAUUUUGUGUGAAGGGUGGAAGGUCACAGAACAAUAUGUCAACCUUAGCGCUAUAGAUCUGGGUCAAACAUGAGCACCAGAGUUGCACUACCCCGCCCACCGCCACCACAUGGAUAUCAGCGACCGCCAAUAGAGUUUGCUGGCAUGGUGAGGUCAGUAUAGUAGUGGCAGAUCAAUUUUGGGGAGGGUAGUCUUCCAUGGCAGCAGUAGUAGACAGCCUGACAGACGUCAUUUGAUUUGGGACAGUGACCUUCAUAGAUCGAGCAGAGGAGAGUUGAGUAGGAACACCAUGAUCGAGCCCACCACACUCGCCUUCACUAGAUGACUACUGAUCCAGUAUCAUCAUUCUAGUUUCUCAUUAUGUGUUUGAGUGUUUUUCAGAAGUUAGUGUCGCCACGAAGGUUGAACUUCAUGAGUCAUGUAUGAGCCUCUUGGAUUUCAGACAACAUCCAUGUUUUCCUGUGUAACUUUUCGCUUCAUUUAGUGAGGACACUUUCCGAACUAAGUUUGAGGUGGGUUUGCAUAGGAUUUGUGUAUGCUAGUCUUGUUGGGUAGUUGUUUUACAUGUGCAUCCUAAACUCAAGCUUGUUGGAACUAUCUUUGAAUCAAUUACUUGGCAUGCUUAGAAAAAUUCCUUGUGAUUUGUGCACUUGAAUUGCUGAAUUACUUGUGAACCUAGAUUUGAUAGGAGUAUAGGCCUAUGAUCAAAGUCUAUUGAUUCAUUCUUUAGAAGCAGAUCUGAGGCAUAGACUCUAACACUUAUAUCCCUUCUACAUGGAAGUUUCAUCAAGUUUCAAUGUGAAUGAAUUCAAUCGGAGACUAGAGGAGCUGGGAACGAUAAACAUCCUCCACCGGCCUAGGUUUCUUCUUCGUAGCACAUGGUUGAAAUAGAAAUGAAGAAAAAUCAGAAGAAACCAUUUGGAGGCGGAGUGAUGAUGGUGAUAAUGAGGAGGUUUUGGUACCUUGUAUAAUUCAUCUCCAAUUAAAAAGGUAUUAAAAAUUAACGGUUUUUAAAUUGAUUGUUUUUAUUGACGGUGAAGGAGGUAUUAACUGAUGAAAGAGGUAUAGUGAAGAAAAGAACUUAUGGAACUUAAAAAAGAAAAAGAAAAUAGAAAAUUGGAAGGGAAGUUCACGUAUUUAAAUCGAAUAAAUUUGGGUGAUCUAGUUGUAUUGUUUAGCAUAUUUGGGUGUUAACUCAAUAUUAUGUUUAUUAAAAAAUCGACCAAUAAUAUUCCGCCACAUAACAUUUGUACCGGAUGCAUGUUUCCACCAAAAUGUUUCCUUAUAUUAAACUGAUUUGUUAAGUUUGAAUGUAUAUUAACUUUAAAAGAAUCGCAACAAAUGGGAGGGUUUUUGCUUUUUGAGAUAGAGAGAGAAAAUAGUGGUAGAUGGUCUGAUGAGAAGAACCCAAGAGCAAUAUGCCCUACAAGUUCUCAUGCAAAAAACUGAAGGACUUGGGAUUGGAAUUCACACCAAUGACGCAGAGCCUGUAUGAAGCAAUCAAGUCCCUUGAGGAAAAGUGUCAUUUUUCUCCCCCUAAACAACAGCAGCACCACAAGAAGGAGGAACCCAUGAAAAUUCAGUCCUCUUCUUAAUAAUAAUUAAAUCUACUACAUACCUAACAAAUGGCAAUCCUUGUUCGUUUGCAUAAUUAAAUAUAUGAAAAAAUUAGAUUUACCGGGGAAGACGCCUUAUCUGAUUUGACCAACUACGUACUUGUUUGUUACUAUUUUGAUUGUAUUGGGGUUCUAUUAUAUUCUACAAUCCUUUGUAUCGGUUGGUCAUUCAUAUGAUGAAAGUAUCAAGUCUUGUGUUGUAAUUGGUGUUUGUUAGCCCUACUAUAAUUAAACAAAUGCUUAAGUUGUUGUAAGAGAUAUAAUAAGAGGGGAAAAAUGAAACAUAGGAACAUACCUAUGGUAAGUACCGAAGCAAUGAUAAUUAGUUCCCCGGCUACAGAAGAUACACCGAUUAGAGCAACAAUUAGAAUGGGAACUAUGGCCAAACAUCUUGUUAAGAAAUUUCAGAUCCAUGGCUUCAAUCGUAGAUCAAGGAUGCCCUGCAAUGUAUUUUUCCAAACAUGUGAGGAAACAUCAGAACAUCUCAGCUUCUUCUAUGAAAUCUGUAUACAAUUGCAAAUUUUAACCUAUAGAAUUUUCUACAGCUGCCGUGGAAAUUGAAAAUCUGGAGGAGAGGAGCUGAGAUGAGGUGGAGUGCUGUCAGUUCGUAUCUGUUGACUGUAACGCAGAGUGACAUCAAGGAUCGGAUAUUAGAAGCAGAGAUAUCCACGAUGUCAAUGUUGGGAUGAUUUAAAUUAAAUUUUCCAAGGCCAAUGCUUUAUUUGAGAAAAUUGAAAUCUAUUAUUAUUGAAUUUAAGUAAAGUGUCUAUUUUGUAAGUUGUUUUUUUAUUUUCGAAAAUUUUUAAAAAGAAAUUAAAGAAUGCAUGGCCCAUAUUCAGUCUUAAAACGAGCGGUCCAAAUCUGAUGAAAAUAGCGGGUGCACCCGGUGCACUAGAUGCACUGAAGACCUAUGCAUCAGCCAACACAACAAUAACCGCUUCACUUAAAUAUAUUUACAAAAGGUGCUUUAACUUAAUAUAAUUAAAAGUAGGAAACUUUGCCAAGGUGAUCCAUUGUCUCCUUAUUUGUUUUUAUUGUGCUCGAAAGAUUUUUCAGCUUCAAUUAACAAGUACGAGAAGGAAAAGAAGAUACAUGACAUGAAAAUUUACAACAGAGCCCUUAUAUUUUCCCAUUUAUUUUUUGCAGUUGAUUGUAUAAUGUUUGCAAGAGCAAAUAUGGAGGAAAGGACAAAAGCUUCUAAUGAGGCCGUGCGAAAGCUCUCCAUUUCUGCGCACUGAGGCGAGUUGCUGUCAUACAUAGCUCCGGCUGCGGGUGCGCUCCAGUUGUGCGACAUCCGGUUGUGACUUUGGCAAGCAUAACUAGGAUCUGAGGUUUCCUCAGAUCAUCUCUCUUCUUUUCUCGUUCCUCUUGUCUUGCUUGUAGAUCCAUUAAUGGCGAUCAUCUUCUUCGUUGAACUAUUCUAAAGUGGGUGAGCUUCUGGAGAGAGUUCCGAAGGUUGUGAUCUGGUUGGCGACCGCUUGGCGGCUCCAUGAUAGCAAUUUCGUUCUUCUUCUAGUUGAUUCUCCUCUAAUUAUGCGCUUCUAAUGAGUGAAGGUCCUAAAUCAUGGAUCGAGUUGUUCUCUAUGUCAAAUGACUUUAAGCUUGAUUUUGUUGAGUCUGACCAAAUUGAUGGUGCUCUUCAAAUCCCCAAAAUGUUGUGGAUGAAGGACUUCAGAGAUUGAAGUUAUGCCUCGUCGCACAAUUCCUUGGCGAUCCUCCGACUAUGCCUAAGCAACAAGUGAUUGCUAAUUGGUUAUGGGGGAGAGAUGGCUUCAUUAGGGUUUAUGCUAUGGAAAAUGGCCUUUUCAAUUUCAAUUUUGUUUGUUGAGAAGUUUGAUUGGAUCAUCGGCUCGGGGCCUUGGCACAUGAAGAACUCUUCUAUUCUCUUUCGCCGUUGGGGAAUAGACAUCCAUCUGAUUGUCAAUACGGAAAGUGUUACGCCUGUUUGGCUAAAGUAUCAAAUGUUUCGAUGCCACUUCAAAAUAAGAAAGGACUCACUCGGUUGGCUAGCACCAUUGGUAAGCCAUUGAAUAUGGACAUGACUAUGAAGGAUGUUGUUGGCUCUAAAGCCAAGGUUUGUAUUGCUAUCGAGACAUCUCAAAUGUUACCUGAUUCCAUUCCUAUCUCAGUUGUUGGUAAGCCUCCCAUUCUAGUUAAGGUGGAGUAUGUGCACCAUCCAUUGUGUUGCAUUUCUUGUGCAGUCUUUGGCCGUUGCAGCUGUCUUGGGACUUUGGUCGUUGCAGCUAUCUUGGGACUAGGGUAUAGGAUAAGGAUAAGGGAUGUGGGAUUGCUAAGACGCUUGAUAUCUCUAAAGUUUUGCAAGAACCUGUUUCUGAUACCCUAGAGGUGGUUAUUCAGAAUACUACGGCAGAGGUGUGUUGCCCAGAAUGUUGUUCCAGAGUUCGUUGUUCAAAAUUUAUCAGUAAAUGAGCCUGCUACUUCCAUGGGAAUCCCUGUUGCCUCAACUAGUAAAGUGAGAAGUGAAACUUCUACUAGUAAGCCCCUUGUGCCUGCUCAGACUAAGAAGCAAAAAGCAAAAUUAAAUAUGGAGAAUUGGUUCAACCAUCUGUCAUAUCAGUCGGAUGAUAUUCUCUCCAAUUUGGGUGACCAUCCCUUUGUUAAUGGUGAAAGUCGCAAGAAGAGUUAAUGAAUGUUCUUUCCUAGAAUCUUUGGAGGUAUAAUUCCCUUAAAAAUAUAGGUUUUUAGUUUCUUACCUUGAAAAGUAUAAUAUAAAUGUAGUAGCUAUACUAGAAACUAGAGUUGCUAUAGGUAAAGCUGAUGAUAUUAUAGUUAAAAGCUCUCUGUCUUGGAACUUCUUUGGUAACUAUGAUAAGAGCAAGUUGGGAAAGAUUUGGAUUCUAUGGAGAUCCAGUCUUCAUUUUACAUUUUCCUGCUACUCGGAUAAAUUUGUCUUGGUUGAGAUUGGUGGUGGUCCUAAUUUCAUAUUUGUAAUAAAGAAAAUGAAAGACUAAAGAUGUAUACUGAUUUAUUUUUAGUAUUAUUAAGGAGAUGACCACCGUGUUUGCUACUGUUGGGGACUUUAAUACUAUUCUCUCCACUACUGCGGUAGUAAUACCUCUAGUAUGAUUAAUUUCCGUAAUUGGGUGAUCAUCCUUCAAUUGGACUUGUUUUUACUUGACAUAACAAUCAAGAGGAGAAUCUAAUUGCACGAUGUUUGGAUAGAUGCUUGAUUAACCCACUUUGGUUGAGCUGUGUUUCUGAUAGUACAGUUGAAUUGUUUGCUCUUGGGGUUUUAGAUCAUUGUGGUGUUUAUAUUGAUUCUAAAGUUAAUCUUGAAAUCUUACCUAAACCCUUCAAGUUCUUUAUCUCUUUGACUGCUUAUGCUGGCUAUGAUGAUGUUGUAAGCUUGCAUGGUCCUCUAUGAAUUCUACUCGUCAGGGCACCUUCAGAACUGUUUAUAGUAAGCUAAACAAUGUUAAAACUGCUAUUCGUAAGCUAAAUACUGAGCAGUUUUCAAACAUUAGUGGCAGAGUGAAAAAGCUUGAAAAUGAUCAGUAUAAUGCCAAGAUGGAAGCUCUUAUAGUUCCCUCAUAGGUGAAUGUUGCAAAGGCUCAUAAGAGACAAGUUGAAUGGGAUUCUAUGAAAACUAUGGAGGAGUCUUUUCUCAGUCAAAAAGCUAAAGAGAACUGGCUCAAGCUUGGAGAUGGUAACAAUGCUUUCUUCCAUCCUCGUUGUAAGAAGCUCUCCCUCAUCAACCUCUAUUUUUUGGAUGAUCAACUGGUUUUCACUAGUGGGUCUGCUAUUGGGAUUGAGGGCAUCUACUCUGUUCUAAAGAAGUUUUAAAAGCAUUUCGAGUUGUAGUUGAACCCAAACAAACUGAAAUCUUCAUCUCUCACUCAGUUAAUCAGUAUACUCGUGAUUUCAUCAUCAAUAUGUCAGAACUUAAGGAAGGGAAUCUGCCAAUUCGAUAACUUGGAGUGCCUCUAAUCUCUAGUAGGCGCACUACUCAUGAUUGUGACAUCUUGGUGGAUAAAAUCACUACUAGGGUAUCCAGUUGGCGUGAUAAACUCCUCAGCUACGUGGGACUACAAUUAGUCACCUCUGUUCUUGCUUUUAUGAGUCAGUACUGGCUAUCAGUAUUUCUACUCCCUAAGAUGAUUAUAAAAAAAGUUGAACAAAAAUGCAGUGAUUUCUUAUCUUGUGGUCAGUCGGGCAAGGGGGUAGGAAAAGAGCAAAGUUUGUAUAGUCUGACAUUGGUAAACCCUAACAAGAAGGUGGUCUAGGUCUCAAGGACCUUGUAACAUGGAAUGUAGCUUGUGUCAUCAGGCAUUUUUGGGAAGUACUUUUGGAUGCAGGUUCUAUUUGGAUUGCUUGGCUUAUGCGCUAUCGGUUAAAAUUCAAUAUAAUUUGGAACUGUAAAAAGCAGCCUUAUCAUUCCUAGGUUUGGAAAAGGGUUCUGAAAAUCCGAUCCAUUGCAGCACCUUUUGUGCUCCUUUGAUGAAGAUGGUACUCCACUAUGGGAGGGCCCUAGUAUGCCUCAAUAUUCUAUCUCUUUGGUUUGGAAUUAAACUCGAUUACACUCAGCUAGAGUUAUGUGGUGUGACUUAAUCUGGAAGGGACCAUCUAUCCCAAAGCAUAGCUUUAUUAGUUUGCUUGUAGUGAGAGGGAGGCUUGUUACUAAUUUUUCUAGGACUACUUGGGGAUUACCCCGAGAUAUCUCUUGCUCUCGUGUGAAGAGGGUUUAGAUGACAUUAAUCAUAUCUUCAUACGUUGUUCUUAUAAGUGAUACUAUAUGUGCGUUCUUUAAUUUGCUUCUUACUAGGCAUGGUGAUUGGAUGAAAGAAGUGGAGAUUGUUGGUGGUAGAUUUGCAGGUACCACUGAUGCCGUGAAACGCAGGAGAUGUGUUUGGCAUGCUUUAAUUGCGAUGGUUUGGUAUGGAAGAUGCUCCCAAAAUGCUGGAAAUCUAGGGGUGAAGGUAGAAGACAUUAUAGAUAGAAUACAUAGAGUUAUAACUACGAAGAUGGGAUGAGUGGUUUUGUUGUUUCUAGAUUGUAGUUGAGCUUCUUUGUUGUAUUUGUGUAAAUGAAAUUUUUGUUCGAUCGGGUGUUAUUUUUUGAAGUUGUGAGGUUGUGGCUUCCUGCACGAUCCUGAUGAAUAAAAUUAUUCAUCAAAAAAAUGUGGAGGAAGGAAAAAGAUUCAAGGAAUUCUAGAUACUUAUGAAAAGGAAUCGGGACAACUGGUGAACAAAAAGCCGCACGUGGCACGGAGGCAGCACAGUUAUCCAAAUGACAGAUAAAAACAAGAGAAACUAGAGGCAAUGAACGAAGAAGAGUUUGACAUUCUGGUAAGACUUGACCAAAUCUAACAUUGUGGGAAGUGGAAGUGAUUAGCCGUACUGCUUCGGCAGAAUCUGAAUAGAUAAGGAUACUAUCUGAAGGUUUGAAGAGGUCGCCAAAAGAGCACAUCUAAUUGCAAGAAACUCGAGCGAAAGAUGGUCCAUAAUAUGGUUGAUGAUUUGUCUCGUUACGAAAACAAUUGAGUUGCAAUGCCACCGAAAAACCAUCCUUGUUGCGCCAUAACCUUCAAGGGCCGCAUCCUGUCUAACUGUUGCGUCAAUGAAAAUCCUCCAUGAAGAGUCCCGUAAUUGUGAGGAUGGAAGAGCUGUAUUAUUUGAAACCACUAGGAACGCAGCAAGGUCCCUGUUAGGAAGGCAUGGACCUGAUAGCCACUGAGAUAAAAAGUGACGGUGCAAAGUAUCAAGAGAUAGCUGGGUAUUCUCAAAGACCACAAGAUUCCUAGACUUCCAAAUCCUCCACCAAAAGAAAAUAACUAUCACUACUGUUGCCUUGUCGGAAGAAAGUAUCCUUCUCCGAAAAAUGACAGUAGGCACGUCGUUGACUAUAAAAGUGGAACAGUUUGCAGCACCAGCAAAUCGAAUAGUAACAGAGCAGAGGAAUUGAAGAUGAUGAAGGGUCUCUCAGACAAACCACAGACCCUACAUGUCAAGGGGAUAUGAAAAUUGAAAAUUUCUAAUGUAUUCGCUAACGGUAAGAUGUUAUGAAAAAAUUUCCAGAGAACAAAUUUAAUCUUAGGUUGAAUAUGAAUUCCCAAACCGCCGCCCAAAGCGAAGAAUCUGUUAGAUGAGGACGUGCUCGAAUUUCCUGACACUGAGAACGAAGAUGAUGACUAUACCCCAAAGCGGCGAAAUAUUUUCCAGAAAGGGUGAAGCUCCAAAUCCAGCGAACCGGGAUGGGGGAGAGGGGGGUAGAAAUUGAGAUAAUUCUCUGAACAGAGGGUGGACAGAAUAACUUGCGAAGCAGAUUUUCAUUCCAGGUCUCAUGAAUAAUAACCGUCGCAAAAACCUCUGGAAUUGGGAUUGUGCUGGGUGGAGGAAUAUGCGCCGAGGGAGGGGAGGUAGGUAACAAGUUGGACUCUAGUGAGGGGAUACCCAUAUCAGAGCCAACUAGUCAUCGCCCGCCGGCGAGAAGGAGUUUUUGACCAAAAAGAAUUCAAUUGCAACACGAGCUAACAGGGGAACCCUUGGAGGCUGUCAGAAGCGAAGACGUAAGGUAGUAACGACCUUCAAAACAUUUGCAGCCAAAGAAUGUGCAGAAUGCAUUAGACGCCAACACAAGGACGCAAGCAGCGAUUGAUUGAUGGAAAUGAAAUUUCUGAAACCAAGUCUCCUAUCAAGUUUAGGGUGACAAAUGUGGCCCAAGACUUCUAAUGAAUACGCAUAGUCGAUGGACUAGCUCCAGAAAUUUGAACAUCGACAUAGCAUAACACUGAAGGGAGGAGGCUAUAGAUUUGAUGAGAACUUCCAUUCCUGCCGGAGAUAAACAUUUAGCCUUCCAUCCUUAUACGAUGGCAGUGGAAGCUUGAGAACGAGCUAUGUGUGUUGGAAUUCCCAAGAAACGAAAAGUGGAAGCUCGAGAACGAGCUAUGUGUGUUGGAAUUCCCAAACACUUGUCACAAAUGCCGAUGUUGGGAAUUUGGAGUUGAUGACCAAUGAUAGCUUGUAACGCAGUUGAAGUGUUGGAACUAAAGUAAAUCGCCGACUUGGCCAAGUUGAUAGAUUGGCCACUCAGAGAUUCAAAGAAGAGAAGAAUAUCCAACAACUGAUUAGAGGAAGCCGAAGUAGCCUCGAGAAAAAAGAAAUUAUCAUGAUGGUUCAAUCGAAUCCUAGUGAGUUGGCGAGAUGAGAUAGCCGAACUAAUGAGGGUAAUUAAUCCUUAGAUAUAAAAUAGCAAAGAGAAGUGGUGAAAGGGGGUCACCUUGACAGAGACCCCGGGAUGAAGUGAAGGUUGAAGAUGGUCUACCAUUCAUAAGAACGGAGAAAGAUGUCGUGGAUAGGCAUUCAUAAAUCCACAUAUCCGGGUGGGAUGGAAACCAAGUUUGGUCAUGACGGUAAAAAGAUAGCACCAUUCAAUUAUAUAAUAAGCUUUUACCAUAUCAAGCGUGAGGGCCAUAAAAUGUUUUUUACCCUUUUUUCAUUUUAAGGUACUGCAGGACCUCAUGAGCGAUUAUGACAUUAUCGGAGAUAUCCCUUGUUGCUACAAAAACAUUUUGUGUUGGACUGAUAAACGCAUGUAAGAUCGAAGCUAGUGGAGAACAUAGAAGCUUUGCAAUAAUUUUGUAGAUUAGUUGACAGAGCCCAAUCGUCCUGACGUGUAUCAUUGACACCGCCCCAGGGACCUUAGGAAUUAACAUUAGCCAAGUGUGAUUAAUGCUUUUUAACAUUCUUAAGGAAUGGAAAAAGCCCCGAACGACUGAGCAAACAUCUGGACCAAUUACUGCCCAGAAGUGUUGAAAGAAAGCGGCGGAGAAGUUGUCCGGCACCAGUGGUUCGGAAGAGCCAAUGGAAAACCUUGCAUGACUGACGUCUAAGUCAUAAAAAGGUUGUGUAAGCAUCAAGUUCAUCUCCUGAGUGACCCAUACAAGGCCUCGAUCAAGGUUCGAAAUGUUUGGGGAAGUAGAAGAAGCUGGAAAUUGAGAUUUCAAUAAGUCCUUAAAGAAGGAGACUGCGUGUGAAGUCUUUGCAGCUUCAUCAGAAUAAAUUGUUCCAUCAGACCCAGUGAUACGACCCAAGCGAGUAAACUAUCGACAAGCUAUGGUGGAAUGGUGAAAAAUGCCAUCUUAUGGUCACCAAACUGCAACCAAUAUUUCUGACAUUUCUGCCGCCAAAAUCGACUUUCUUGAUCACAUGCUAAUGAAAGAUCUCGUUCAAGAGAUGAGAUUUGGUCCCAAGGGAUUGGAUUUCGACCAUGAAGAUCCUGCAGUGCGUCCUUGAGUUCUCGAAUCUGGCGUGCACUGUUAGAGACACCUAAACAUUGCCAUUCAUGCUGGGCAUGCCUGAGGAGUUUUAAUUUGGAGUGCAGAAAAAAAUAUUCUAGACCCCUGAAUGGGGCUUGACCAAACCAAGUGAAACAUCGGCGCAAGCUCUAAAUUCUCCAUCCAACGAUUAUCAAAUCGAAAGAACAUAGGUGCAUGAUCCUCAGGAAGCGAAAGUUGAUGAAAGAUGACCCUAUGAUCGUACCCUAGGUCGAUAAGUUGGGAUACAAUGGCAUAAGGGAAAAGAAGGUAGCAGGGGAUGUUAGACACAAGAAACAAUCAAGAUGGCAGGACACCUGCAGACUAGACUCUCUGCAGCGAUUAGACCAUGUAAAUUCAAGCCCUGUGAAAUUUGGGUCGAAAAGCCCAUGAUCACUAAUGUGUUCAAAAAUGAGCCACCAACCCAGGCUUGAUGGGGUGAAUGCCUGAUUUUUCCCUAUAUGUUGUCACUACAUUGAAAUCCCCAAAGACUAUCACUAGAAGCGAAGUUCAGGGAAUAAUACUCGAAAGGAAAGUAAACUCAUUCGAACGAGUAGAGGCAUCACAAGAUAUGUAAACUCCCAAUAAUAAGGUCUCUAAGUAAUUAGGUAACAUCAUCUUAACUGCAAUGUAAAAAGAGGAAGAAGAAACUACAAAGGCAUUACAAUCUGCUUGCCACACGAGUGCAAUACCUCCAGCAGAAACAUUACUUCAAUUAACUAUAAUACUAUUACUACUUGGGUAGCAAAGGGAACAAAAUAGAUUGGCUACAUUAGCAGAAGAGAACGUCGUCUCAGCAAGAUAUAAGAAGCGAGCCUGAUAUCUGGUGGACAGGUUGUGGAGAGUGUCACUGCCCAGGGCGCCACCGAUUCCCUCGUAGUUCCAAGUGAUAAUCCUCAUUUGGAUGGGGUGGGCCGCUCUGGGUGGGCCUCCGUCACCAUCGAAGUAGAUACAAUAUCGGUAACCGCUAUCAUGUCAGGAUCACCAUCCAGGAUAUCGUACUUGAGAAAUUUUGAAUCCAUCCCAGUGUUAGGGAAAUCCUCUAAAGUGAGACGUGAUAUGGUUUUUGGCUUCUUUGAAGAUCAAGAGGAGUCAUCCAAGUCAUCCUCUACGCAUUGGCUCUUUCUAUCAAUUAGAGCCAACCCCUAGAGAUCUAGGUGAUCACAAUAUACCCAAGGCAUUAAGUUGGAGAUUAAAGGGGGCAUGUAACAAGGAAAUUUAGUAACCACAGUAGAGGAGGAGAAUAGACAGAAAGAGUUGGCUAGAUUGAUAUUAUGCAAUGUUGAUUGAAUACCAGAACCAUCAUUGAUAGAUAAUGAGCCAACAGAAUAAUUACUUCAAAAUAUGUUGAGAGAGGGAGAAAUGAAACAAUGGUAGAAGCAUUUAGUUCGAAUACCAGAGCAGAGAGGAGCAACCGAGUUAGGGGCCUCGUCAGAUCCUUCAAUCACGAAAGAGAUAGCUGGAUCUAUACCCAAAAGAAUCGAAGCAGUCGAAGAGGAUAGUGAUCAGCGACAUGAACUGGAACCCAAGUCUCGAAGUCAGCAGGGAGUGGUUUGAGAUAUUUUAGCUGCUGUUUUGAAGUAGAUGCGUCCGAGAAGUCCGGAGACAUCACAAUAUGACUGUAAGGCUUUGCGAGCAUCCAAAGUCCUUGCUCCCUAGGAGUGAAGACAAUAGCCUUUGCAUAGGGGCAAUAAGUAUGGUCGUGGGAAAGAAGACUGCAAACAUAGCACACAGUCGUAAUCGUUUCAUAAUGAAGAAGCACCCAUGAUUAUCGACGACCAACGCGAGCCAUGAUGUGCCCCUGCAGACUCUUUGAAAGACCAAUUUUAAUAAUGCACUUGUGAAAUGGUGUCCUUGGGCAUUCAGACGAGGGGAGAACUUAUCUGUGCUGAUCAAAGUCCCUAAAAGGAUGAACCAGUUUUGCUCCAAACAUGGCAUCAUUGGGAGAAGGAGGCAGAUCUUUCAAGGCAUGAACUACAGACAGUCGAAAAGAUCCUAGCUCGGAGAUUCCCAGGCAACAAGAUGAUUUGUCAAAAAGAUCCUGCCUCCAAGGGGUAGACAAACUAGAGCAUCCCAUAACCCACUUCAAACACCUUGAGAUCCUCAAAAGGAAUUGGGCAGACAAAGCAUGAAGCAACAUAUGACAGGGCUUCAGCAUAGGCCAGAACACAAGACCAAUAAGGCUCAGAUCCGUCUGAUCUCGGUUUUGAUCAUCUGAGAAAUCGAUCGUGAAGUGGGAUCGGAUUAUUGAAGGGGGGAGAGGCUCCAUAUGAAUUGGGGUAGUGGUGACAGGAGGAUCUGAAAACAGGAAAUCCAACAGAGUAAACAAUAGGUGAUUAAAAAGAGAGCGGAAAUGGUAUAGGUGAGAAAUCAGAACCUAGGUUUGUAAAAAAGGAAAGAUCCUUCAGAUAAAUAACCGAAGAGGGGCAACAGUUUUGAGAUAGGAUAAGGAUCUGAAAACCACAAGAACCGUCGCUCUCCAACUGCCAGGGGGAAGAUGGGGAUUAAUGAAACAGCAAAAAAUGCCUAGAAGACGACAUACACCCGAAGAUGGGCAGGGGACGGUGCGGAAAAUCGCUACGAAAGAACGCUGGAAGAAGUCAACAUAAACCAUAAACCAUUAAAAGAGAGGAUGAGAUUGGAAAUGGAAAAGAAGGAAAAGAAGGGGGCGGACGAAGAAGCAAAGGGUCGGCGGAUAAAGCAAGAGGAAUCCAUUUGAGUAAAAAUGAAAUAAUAAUAAUAAUAAUAAUAAUAAAACUCAAAAUAUAUUUGUGUAAAUUUGAGUAAGAAAGUGAAAAAUAUGAAUGAUAAAUGUCCAAAUUAUGGAAUGAAGGGCACUUAAACAUUGCUUGUUGAAUUGUUGUUGGGUGGUUAUAAUUUGGUGUAAGACCCUUAUAUCACAUCUUUUUUUCAUAUAGAAGGUUUUGUGUGAUAUUGUUGGUGUAAGACACUUAUAUCACAUUUUUUCUUUCAUGUCGAAGGUUUUUGUGUGAUAGUUUUGGAAAGAAAGAAACAAAUUUUAAAAAAGUAAUACAUUUUUACAGGAAUCUUCCGAAGACCUGAAGUCUUCAUUGAACUGUUAUGUGAAAUUCAAGGGAGGAUCAAAAGCAAAAUUAAAAUGUCAGAAGGAGAGGUUGUAAAUGGAAAAAAUCACCAGUGGGGACUUUCAAGCUCAAUACUAACAUUGGCAUCAACAAUAGUGAUGGAAUUCGACUUGGUUGUGUUGUGAGAGAUUGGAAUGUGAUGGUAGUUCUUGCGGCAAACAAGAGUGAUAUAGUUAAAUGUGCGUGUGACAUUGCAGAAGCAAAAGCUAUGUUGUUUGGGAUGCCAAAAGCAGUUGAGAAUAGAUUCAAGCCUUUGAUCUUUGAGUCCGAUUGCAAGAAGAUAAUAGAUUUAGUCGAAAAGAAUGAAGAGUGUCGGCCGGAGAUUGAUAAUGUGUGCAGAGAUUGGUAAUGGGGGAGCAAUACCUCUAUUUUUUGUGUGGAGAGAUUCAAGCCUCUCAAUACCUCUAUUUUUUGUGAGACUUUAUGGAAUGAUUUUACCCGUCUGCAAUUGUAGAUGUUGUAACCCAGGAGGAUCCUUUGAUUCAUUCUUAAUGAAAACUCAUUAAUUUUUUUUAAAAUAAAACUCAACUUGAGGUUGCUAAUCACGAUUUGAAGAGAAUAUACUCUCUUUCUUAAAAAUAUAUAUUUCCUUUAUAACUACAGAACCCAAUCCUCCAUUUGGGGGGCCCUUGUGGUUGUCGGCAACAACACCACUCUCCCUUUUUAUUUGCCUUUUUAGAUUAUUUUCUAUAUAUGUUAAGUUUUUCCAUUUUCUAUCUUUCUUGCUUUAUGUCUAUCUUUCAAUGAAUUUCUUCCUAAGUUUGAGUUGAUCUUGAUGGUUUGAGUUUUGAACUAUUUAUCUCAAUCCGAUUUAGGAUUGUGGGAUGGAGUGGACAUUUUACUCUUUAUUAUUUUUCCUUCCAUGAUAAAAAAUUUACGUACAAAUAUAUUGCAUGAAAGUGUAGGGUUGAUCCAUGGUUAGGUUUGGUUGAGUUUGAUAAUAAAAUAAACUCAGCUGCUAAUUUGUGGGUCACUCUUCAUACGACCCACACUCACCCACUUAAUGAUGUUGGGUGGUUGCGUGUGGGUAAUAGCAGGUGGAUGGGUGGAUUUAGGUGGGUUAGGCGGAUUAGUAUAAACUCUAUUAAAACAUGAAAUCAUAUUAAAGUUGAACAAAAAAUAAUAAAAAUGAGGCAGAGACAUCCAUCACCCAUGGACCUUCAGACGCAUUCUCAAAGCUAAAUAGUACAAAUUAUUAAAGCAAAAGUUGUACUGUCCAAAAGAUCUAGGAGCGAAUCAAGAUUUUUGGGAGAUUUGCACCAGAAGGUUAAAGAUAAUAUGAAAAUUAUAGGCCUCGUAGACUAGUAUAGUUAAUUGGUGGGUUAGGUGGGUAACCCAUCACCCAACCCAAACCUACCCACUAAUUGGUGGGUGACUAGGUAGACAACCCAACCCCACCCAUAAUACCUACACAGUUUUGAGCGUAUUGACUUACAACGUGUGGGUUUGGUGGGUAACUCGACCCAAUAGUCACCCCAUUGAAAGUGGUUGAAAAAAUAUAUAUUCACACGAUGAAACUUGCCUAGCUUGCUUAUUAUGUAGUAGGUAAUAGCUAGUAUUCACAUUCACAAAAACCAAAUAGGGAAAACUAUCAUUGUCAAAAGUACUCAUUUUUCAAGGAGCUCCGUGGUAGGAGGAUCAUACAUAAAGCCUAACUAGAGCAAACAAAUCAAAAAGGAAAGGGGUGGAGGAAUGAUGAACCAAACUGGGAGGAGGAAAAUGACGACUAAUGUGACACCCCGAUUUUGGGUUAAUAUCUGACUCGGGAUUUAGUUUCGGUUAUGUGAGUCUCUAAGAAUCAUUGUCGGAUGGACCGUCACGGGUGUGACUGAUAAUCUGUCACGGGUGUGAUCAUCAGAUAGAUCACGGUCGUGGUCUGUGUGGUUACCAGGUCAUCACGGGUGUGGUGGUCAGUAGGUCACAUACGUGGUAGACAGCUUAUAAAAUCAGAGCCGCAAUUCCAAAGUUUAGGUCGAAGAAACCAAAUUUUUU